This 61775-nucleotide long non-coding RNA is filed under the name Solanum tuberosum (potato). RNAcentral describes it as "long non-coding RNA (STUB_LNC002805)". The stretch from base 1790 to 1841 matches the Rfam family "MIR1886 microRNA precursor family". Lineage: Eukaryota; Viridiplantae; Streptophyta; Magnoliopsida; Solanales; Solanaceae. The record is from RNAcentral.
GGUAGAUAACUGCUUGCAUUUAUUAAGCAUUGUACACUUGGUUCAUUUUAUAACAUAGCACUGUUGUGUUGCAAUAAUAUAGUGGUUGGUUGGCUCGUCAUAAAUAUAUACAUAACCAUAGCCAUAAUUUAGUAUAUUUUCCUUCUCACUUUAUUAGGUUUGUUCACUCGUUAAUUAGUUAGGCUUUUAUUUCUUGUAUAGGUGUAUGAAGCUAACAACUAGUCAAGUACAAUACUCCUUACGUUUUAUAUUAUUUGACUCUCAUUCUGAAAAUAGUUUUAUAUUUUUAUUUAAUUUGUAAAAUAAAAAAAUAAUUAUCACGUAUGGAGUACAAUUUUUUCUUAUUCUGAGUAGACAAAUUAAAUUUUUUACAACAUCAUUAAUAUAAUUAAUUUAACAACAUACAUCUCUACCUUAAAUUUUCUUCAAGAUCGUAUACAUAUAUAUUAAUCGGAGUCAAGUAAUAUGUAACGAAGCAAAAAAGUACUAUGUUUUGUUGUUCAUACACAUGAAUGAAAGCAACUGAAACACUUCAAUGAAUGCAUCCAAAGCAGUGUCAUCGGAUAUGUCUGGUCAAUUGAUGGAUUUGAUAUUUUUAACCUAUCGAGUUUUAAUAUAGACAACAUAUACCACACACUAACCCUUAACCGUGUUUGGUUCUUAUUGCUGUAUUUUUUUUUAGCUAUGAACAUUGUUUGAUUUCAUAAGUUCAUAGAGAAUUAGUGUUAUAGAAAUCUCAUAAAAGCAUUUACACUUUACACUUACAUAGAUAAUUCUUAAAUAUGUCAUCUCGUAAAUACACUAUUCGAUUUACCACAUAUCAAACUUAGAAAUUAUUUAAAAUCUUAAUGUCUAACAAAGUUGAUUCAUGAAAAUGUACUAUAAAGUUAUUUUGAUAAAGUUGAAUUGUCAUCAAUAUCAUUGUUUGAUCUUCUUGAACUUAGAUUUGGGUUCUCCAAGUUAUCGUUACAAUGACUUGUGAUCAUAAUUUCAUUACCCUUAAUGAUCUUUUAAAUACCUCUCUAGCACAUGACUUAACAUAGCCAAUUAUAUAUGAUAAUUCUAUAAGAGAAAAAUUAUCUAACUAACUAACUAACUAUAUAUAUAUAUUGUAGCUUUAUUAUUUAUGAUAAGAUUUUUCUUUAUACAUAAUAUUUUCAGCUCUUUCUAUUGUCGUUUGACUGUCACCAGAGGCGUAUCCAGGAGGGGGUCACUGGGUUCACGUGAACCCAUGCUCCCCUCCUGAAUUCAUAAAUGGUAGUGUUAUAUUUUUAAAAAUAUAUGUAAACAUAGAUGUGUGAACCCACACUUGAAGUAUCAUAUAAUGUUGUGCGAUGAUGAUUGGGUGCACCUCUGAGGCUAGAAAUUUGGAUCUUUCAUUUAUCUUGUUUUAUUUUCUUUCUAAAAUUGGGUAACACCUCUCUAAGUGGUUUGGAUAGAUACAAAAUAAUUUUGGACCUAUAAUUUUAAAAUUUGAAUGAUUUUCAGUGAUAAGAACCUAAAUGUUAAACUGAUCAAAUUUAUUUCUUAAUCCAUCUUUUCGUAAUAGUGCACCCAUCCUCUCAAAAUCCUGGAUAUGCCUCUGUGACUGUCACAAUAUAUAGGAGAAUGAUUUGGGCCAAAAUAGAAAGUUUUACCUAGAAUAUCAUCGAUAAAAGAUGACAUUGAUUCUCAAAUCUCAAGCAUGCUAGAAUGUAUACAUGAAAAAUUAUAUGGAAUUUUUUUUUAUAAACAAAGAUACUUAUAUUAAUAACACUCAGUAGGUGUUUGACCAUGCAAUAACAUAUCAUGAUAUGAAAUCAAUGUUUGGACAUGUGAUUUCACGCUGAUUUCAUCUCAUGAUUUUAUAUUAUGAGAUGAAAUUCCAUAUUCUUCAAAAAUCAUGAUUUGAGAAUUUCAUAUCAUAAUUUGAGAUUUUUAAAUACAAAAAUUGACCCACAAGUAUAUAUUUUGUUAAAACACCCUAACAUACUAGCCAUUUAUUUCAUAUGUAAAUAAAAUUUAUAAUCAUAUCAUUACUUUUUAAAAUUUGUUAUUCUCACCAACAUAAAAUUUAUUAUUACUUUAAAUCAAUUCUUUCUUUAUCAUUUAUAUUAUUAUUUUUUAUCAAAUUUAUUUAUUACCACUACUUUAAUGUUUAAUAAAAUAAAUAAAUUUUCAUCUAUAUUGAGUGAACAAGACUGGCCACAAUGGCUAAUAAUUUAUUAUGUGAUUUUAUAAGUUUUUGUUUAUUUGGUAAGAUUAAAUAAAUUAUUGAGACAUUUUUAAUAGUUCUACAACUUAUGAGAUUCUUAUGUUUAUGAGAAAAUACACAACACAAAAAUUCUAUAUUGCAUAUCCAAACAAAACUUCAACUCUAUUUCAUAAUUUCAUAUUAUGAAAUUCAUAUCACAUGGCCAAACGGACCCUUAAUAUGCAUCAAUACAUGAUAGAGCGAAUUGACCGUUAUUUAGUAUGCGGGUAGGGGGUGACUACUAUGAGUAUUACAAGAGUUUUCCAUAGUUGGAGACUUGCUGUAAAUUUAUAUGGACUUAUUUACUUAUCUAGCUGGUCAUGCAAAUAUUAUAUGAUCUUAAAUUCUAAUAGAUAUAUUUAGUCCAUGUGUGUCUCCGACCAUGUCACAAUCUAGCAUUUGCAAAGCACAUAAUGGCACAAUGUUCAGAUUAGUCAAUUAAACACAUCCACCUCCAUAGUACUAAAUAAUUUACAUUUCAAGUUUUUGAUAAUUAUUGUUUAUCACUUAUGAUAAGUAAUGUUGAACAUCAUACAUCUCAUGUUUACAUUUAUAAACGAUCUUGUUAGCUCACUCAUAAUUAGACACUUGCAAUUAAUAGAAAGAUCGUAUUAUGAAUUAAAGACUAUAAAGUAAAUACAUUAGAGAGAUAUACUAAUAUAUUAUUCAACUUUGUACUAAUAUAUAAAUGAACUGAAUUAACUUUCUAUUUAUUAAAAAAAUGCUAGGAAAAAAAAACAAAGUUCACUACGUAUCAUGCAUGAUGCGUCAUUCACGACACAUUGUAAUAUAUACCUCUGCAUGCUUGAACUACUUGUAAGCUAUCUGUUUGAGUUAUUUAUAAGAUAUCUGCUUGAUUACAAACUUAUCUUUGAGAUUAUCUAUUUAAAUCAACAUCCAUAAUACGUGUUGGAAAAUAGGAGAACAUAUAAAGUAGUUUUGAUGAUUGAUAAAGUGAACAUGGUUCACUACUUGUUGUCUUAUGCGCACUCUAUCAAGUGAAUCAGGUUCUCAGACGUGACUGCAGACAAUCUAUACAAAUAUGAGAGAUUGCGGCAAAGAAGAAAAAGUGCAGAAAUAAAUGAGUAAAAAAAUAAAUAAAGAAAGAGUUGAAAUGCAAAAGCAAAGAAGGAAAGAAAUAAAGAAGGAAAGAAACAAAUAAGGAAAGAAAUAAAGAAGUAGCAAUUCAAGUCAAAUAAGGAAAGAAGUAAAUAUAGACAAGUUCAAGAAGGAAAAGAUUUGUUAUUCCUUUCCUUGUAGAAGUUGAUGAAGGCAAAUCAAACUCUAUAAAAGGUUCAAGCCAAAGAAGAAAAAAGUCGUCUUUGCAUAAACACAAAUCGAAAGAAUUUUCCAGCAAAGCCAGAAAGAUAACUAUUGCAUAUUCACGAAAUUUAUCAUCUUGAGAGCAAUAGUCAUUGGAGAAAAAUCACAGGGCUUCAUUACAGAAACACAAGGACCAGGUUCAAGAGUUGUGUUCCACUCUGAACUAUUGAAUGUUGAAGUCUGUCAAUUAAAGUCAAGGGUUAUUAGUCUUUGUUGAUUUGUUCUAGGUUUAUUAUUGAGUUAUAAUAAUUCCUAGAUUUUGUAACAAGAAGUGAGUUUGACUUCUUGGGGGGUAGAGUCUUGAGAGAAUUGUAACAAGAAGUGAGUUUGACUUCUUGGGGGGUAGAGUCUUGAGAGAAUUGUAACAAAGAGAGAGUUUGUGAGAAUUGUAAACAAGAAGUGAGUUUGACUUCUUGGGUGGUUAGAGUUAAGAAGAGUUACCUGGUUCUUGAAUACUGGUAAGGCCGUUUCUUUAAUUGGUAUCAGAGCAGGUCUUUUUAUUAAAAGACUCAUAUCUUGAAAAGGAUCAAUGGAUGCACCACCUACACCACAAGAAUGAGCUUCUCAAACUCGACCACCACUUUACAAUGGAAAGUACUAUGGAUGGUGGAAGAACCGCAUGAUGGAUCACUUAAUAGGAGAAAAUCCAGACCUAUGGGGAGUCGUGUUGGAUGGUCCAACCAUACCAUGAAGAAUGAAACUGAUGGAACUACUCAAGUACCAAAGGACAAGAAAUAAUGGAAUGCUACAGAUAAACAUGCAAUUCAGAACAAUGCUAAGGCUAAAAAGAUCUUGAUAUGCGGAAUAGGUCCAGAUGAAUACAAUCGAAUCUCAUCAUGUCAAGAUGCAAAAGUAAUAUGAGAAACUUUGCAAACUGCGCAUGAAUGAACAACUCAGGUAAAGAAGUCUAAAAUUGAUAAUUUGAACAGACAAUACAAAUUGGUUCGAAUGGAAGAAGGUGAAACAAUUCAAGAUAUACAUACAAGGUUCACUGCAAUCAUUAAUUAAAUCUACUCACCAGGAGAAAUAAUUCUCAAUGGGAAGGCAGUCAGAAAACUUUUGAGUAUUCUUCCAGAGUCUUAGGAAAGCAAAGUAGAAGCCAUUACUGAAGCACGUGAUCUAGAUAAGUUAGCUAUAGAUGAACUCAUCGAAAAUCUCAUGACCUAUGAACUCAAGAAAAAUCAAGAAAAGAAAAUCGAUGGAAAAAAGAAGGAGAAGAACAUGGUUCUUGAAGCAAGAACACCAAAAGAUUUUAAGGACGAAAACAUCGCGUUUAUGACCAAAAAGUUCUCAAGAAUGUUAAAAAGCGUACAAGUAUUUCAAAGGAGGAACAGUUCGAAAAAAGCAAAAGAGAUCAAGAAUGAUAAGUACAUUCCUACAAAUAGACGAAUGACCAACCAAGAAGCAGAUCUCUCGAUGAGAAAGGCCUUUACCGCUAUGAGAGACUCAUCGGAAGGAGAGUCUAAGGAUGAAGGAUUCAAAAUCAGUCACUACUUGCAAUAGAGGAAACAUAUAAAUAUGACUUUCUUGCACUAGUUGCUGAAACAGAAUUAAAAGAUGAGAGAAACACCUGUCAAACACAAGAAAAAAUUCAGGCACUAAUGGUUGGAACAGGUUCUGAUGAAGAUGAAGAAGAGGAAAAACAACCAGAGGUAAGUUUCCUUGAAACUAAGUCUAAAAUAAAUAUGUAUUCCAAGAAACAAUUACAAUCCCUAUCUUCAGUUAUUAUUGAUGCAUACUAUCUAGUGAAUUUCGAAAAGAAUCAAUUAAUGGAUGAGUAUGCAUCCCUAAGACUUGACUGUAUGACAUUGGAAUAUCAAAUUGCUUCUUAUGAUAACACUAUCAAUGAUCUAAAAGAACAAGUUAAUACCAUAGAAUUAAGUCACAAGGGCAAAAACUCUGCUAGUGAACUUCAAUUAGCUUUGAAAGAAGAAAUAAAACGGUUAACCAUAAAUUGUCAGGCCUUGACCGAAAGAAAUAGGCUGCUACAAGAAAAUCUUGAUAAGACCAAACUUGAUCUGGAAUGAAAUCUUAGAUGGACCAGGUCUUUUGAAAUUUUGACGCAGAUUUAAGAAAGGCAGACCACCGGUCGAAGUAGGAUAGGUUUUAGAAAACAGAAAAAUCUUGUAGCACACACUAUUCAUAUGCCUAAAAAUUUAUGCACUCAUUGUGAAAAAUCAGGUCAUUUAAGGAAUCAAUGUAAAGCUCUAUUUGAGGCCUUUCAGAAAAAUGUUAAGUUCACCAAAAAAGAAAAGGCUGAAACGAUUAAGAACCUGAUUCCAAAUAAAAAUACUCCAGAUAAAAGGUCUUCUUAUUUGCCUUUCUGGGCUAGAAUAGAUCUUAUUCAUCCUUUUACUCACAAAAAGGAGCCCAAGCUAAUCUGGCUUCUCAAGGAUAAUUUUUGACUAGUGUUUCAAGUGAAGGUGAGAGGAAAAAAGGUCAACUUGGUACAUAGAUAGUGCAUGCUCCAAACAGGUGCUAGAAAUGGUAGAAAAUUUCCUCUCACUCUCUGAUUUUCAAGGCAACUGUGAAGUCCUUGAAAAUGAUGAGAAAGGUGAAAGAGUCAAGAUUGACAAAGUUGAAAAGUCACAACCACAGGCCAUAGAGAAUGCGUUUUAUGUUCAAGUAUUGAACCACAACACGUUGAGCAUCUCUGAAAUUUGUAAUAAAGAAAAUAAUGUAUUGUUCAGAUCAGCUGAGUAUCGUGUGCCAAAUUGUAACUCCAGGAACCUGGUUCUGAAAAGACGCUAAAGAAAGUGACCUGAUAUCAAACAUCUUUGAUGAUGCAAAUUUUGGGAACAUCAUCGAUGAACCUGGUUCACAUCUAACAAUCAUUGAUGCACCUGCAACAGAAGAUACUGGAUUAACCCAUGGUUUUAGAGAUAGGGGGAAUAACAGAGCAAUUAGGAUAGUUAGAGUCUGGUAGAUCUUUAGGGGGAAUUUCGAUGUGCGAACCUGGUCCUUGUUAUUCGUUGGAAGUUAUUGAAAAUUGAUAGGACCUGGUUCUCUCUUCUACUCAGCUUGAGAUUCCUUUGAUCUGGGAGAAUCUGAUGAUGCAGACAUACUCAUGAAGGCCUUGAAUAUGGAGAAUUUGAGAAAAUGAGCCAAAACUUGGUUUGUCGAAACAAGCUGAUGCAUUAUCAUGAUUUCCUUUAAUAAUUGGUUAGUAAACUAAUAAUCUUAUGCUUGAGUAAUUAUACAAUGAAUAUCUGCAAACUCAGUCUCGUACUAUAACAGGUACACACUACAAGCAUAUCUCAAACAAUGUUUAGAAGGUCUGCGAAUAUUAUCCCUACUCUUUUACUAACAACAUUAAGCAAAUCAUUGAGGAACACACAAAAGGGGAACCUGGUUUCUCUGUAAUACUCAGGUAUGUACCAUCCUUUUUCAAUGCAUGAAUUUUCUGAGUUUGUGUCAAACAUAAGCACUAGUGAACCUGGUCGAUCAUAAAUAAAUCAAUUCUUUUAAAAAUCACCAAGAACCAUUUCUUUGACAAUAAGCAUCAUUCAAUCUGAAACCACUCAAAUGAUGAAAACCUUAGUUUUGAAGCCACCAUUGCUUUAAUUUAAGGGGAACUUUGUUUUACCUCUCACAUAUGAACCAGGUUCACAAAUUCCAAAUUGAUAUUCCAUCCAUUCCAAGUGUAUAACCAGUUAUCUCUCAGGAGGAACAAUUCUCUUAAGAACAUACUAUUAUCGGUGCUUGCCUUCAUUAUUGAUAAAUUCAUCUCUAUUGUACUAAACUAUGAUGAAUGUCUUACUUAUAGUUGGUACUCCUUCGAAAUAUCAUCAAGAAAAGGGCUAUAAAAAAACCACGGAGGAGUGAAAAUGUUAUGGAAUAGAAUUAAAAAACAUGAAAUGAAAAGUUUUUUUAAAAAACAGCUUCAUAACUCAAUUGUUGCUCAUAAUGCAUGACAAUAAUACUCAUCUGGUCUUGUUAAACUGAUUAUGCUCAACUAAUGAUGGACCUCAUAUUGCUCUUGAUGUAAUUUCACAUUCUAAGAAAACUAAUCACAACUAGGGCUGGGAAUAAUAUGGUUAAAACCGAAUAAACAGAUCGAAUCGAUUUCUUUUACAUUUCGAUUUCAAUUUUUUUGGUUAUUUCGGUCGGUUUUGAUUUCGAUUUCGAUUUUCAAUAUUUCAUUUUUUCGGUUCGAUUUUCGGUUUUUAACUUAAAAAAUUUGGUUAACCAAAAAAACCAAAAUUAUUUGUAUAUAUUCUUUACCCCCCUUAAAUCUUAAUUAACUUUCAGCCUAUGCCCAGCUCAGCCGGCCCAAUCAUAUCUUAUAGCCCACAACCUUAACAUCAAAUUCCAAUAAAAAAUCAGCCCAUGCCCAACCCAAAUUCCAAUCAACAUUCAAAAAUUCCUAAACUGAUUUCUCUAACAUCAGUCAUCUCUCAUCUCUCAAAAUGCGUCGCAACUCUCAUUUCUCAUCUCUCAACUCUCGUCACUCGUAAGUCGUCUCUCAUCUCUCAACUUUCGUCUCUCAACAGUUAACUCUCAUCUCUCAACUCUCGUCUUAGUUACAACUUACAUCGCAUGCUCACAGCUUGUCUCUCAACUCUCAUCCCUCAUCUCUCAAUCUCAGCUCGUCGUUCGUUGCUCCUGGCUCAUCGCUAAGUGCUCGGCUGCUCGCAAGUCGCAUAGUUGCAUGUACAGUCCACUAUUGCUCAGUGCACUACUCGCGACUCGAAAAUCUAAAGUCAGUGCUCACUGGAUAUGUUUAUACAUCUCGUCUUAAGUCUUAACUUCAUCUAUAAAUCUUUAUAUAUGUUAUAUUCAAUUUCAAAUAUAAGAUGAGUUAGGACUGAUCAUGAAAGUAUUUUUUAUCCUCUACCAUGGAAGUUUUGCUUCUAUCUAUUCUGUUUAAGUGUCUGUUAGUUGGGGACUGAUCGAUGAGUCGGUUAGCAUAAUUAGUUAAAAUACACAUGACAUUUUUAGACAUAGGAAUUAGGAUGUAUUGGUACAUGUAUGAUUUGUGAAUUCUAUUGCUGUAAAUUGUGAAUCCUCUAUUGUUUUUUAAUCAUUGAAUGCAACUAUGCAGUAAUGCAACUAUGUGAUAAUUUGUGUGAUUUGUGAACUGUAAUGUACUGUGUGUCUGUCUUUCUGAAUUCUGAUUGUUGUUCUUCUUGUUUGUUUCACUUUUUUACAGAUGACACAAAUUGAAUGUAGGGUAAGUAAAAGUGGAGCUUCAAAUGAGAGCAUACCUAACACCUCAUCUCCCAAUAAGGUUGAAGUUGAUGUUGAUACUUCAAAGAAAAGAAAAGAAAAGUCAUGGAACCUAGAGCUACUUGUUGGAAGCAUUUUGACAAGUUCACUGAUGAAAGUGGAGCUAAGAAAGCCAAAUGCAAGUAUUGUGCGAAACAUUAUGCAACUUCUACAUCAAGUAAUGGCACGUCGUCAAUGAAUACUCAUAUGAGAAUAUGUCCUAAAUUUCCCCGUGACACCGUAGAUAAAGGUCAAAAUCUAAUUAAUUUUCUACCAUCCUCAAUGGGAGCAAAGGAAGGGGUGAUUAGCACUUGAAAAUUUGACCAAGCACAAAGUAGGAGAGCUUUAGCCAAAAUGAUAAUUGUUGAUGAGCUACCGUUUAGUUUUGUUGAGAAAGAGAGUUUUAAAACCUUCAUGAGAGUUACAGUGCCACAAUUUCAUAUUCCUUCUCAUAGAACCGUGACGAGAGAUUGUUAUGAACUAUACCUUGAAGAAAGACAACUUUUGAAGAAGGUUUUCAAAGAAGCACGUCCAAGAUUUUAUCUUACGACAGAUACUUGGACCUCUAUACAAAAAAUCAACUACAUGUGUCUGACAACCCACUUUAUAGAUAGAAAUUGGAAUUUGCAUAAAGAAUAAUAAAUUUUUUGUCCUAUUUCUAGUCAUAAGGGCGGGGAUAUGGUGGCUUGCAUUACUAAUUGUUUGCUUGAAUGGGGUUUGGAUAAUAUGUUUACUAUUACAGUUGAUAAUGCUAGUUCUAAUGAUGUUACUGUGAAAGAAAUGUCUAAACAAUUGAGUAAUUGGGGAACUAACAUUAUGGAUGGUGAUCAUCUUCAUGUGAGGUGUAUGGCACAUAUCCUUAAUCUUAUUAUGCACGAUGAGUUUAAGGAAAUUGGUAAGUCUGUCAAGCUAGUGAGACAAGCCGUGAAAUACAUUAAACAAUCUCCCGCAAGAAUUCGAAAGUUCAAAGAAUGUUGUGAAUCUCAAUUGAUAACUUGUAAGAAAUCAUUAUGUUUAGAUGUUCCUACUAGGUGGAACUCUAUAUAUUCGGUGCUUGAUAUAGCACAACAUUUUGACCUUGCAUUUGAAAGAUAUAGUUUUUAUGAUAUUGGAUACUUGAAUCAUCUUCGUACCUUUGGUUCUGAUUCUUCUGAAGGUGAAGAUGGAACUAGUGCAAAAGAUGAAAUUAGUGCAGAUAUUCUUACAAGUGCUGACUGGAAAAAUGUGAGGUCAAUGGUGAAAUUUCUUGAAACUUUUUAUAUACUUACUUUGAAGGUCUCUGAUUCUAAUUAUGUCACUAGCAAUACACACUUUGUUGAAAUUGCUGAACUUAAUCUUAUUUUGAAAGAGAUGAUGGAAAAUGAAGAUGGUAAUUUGAAAGAAAUGACAAAAAGUAUGAAGGAAAAGUUCAAAAAGUAUUUAGGUGAACCACAUAAAAUGAAAAAGAUGAUCUUUAUUUUAUCCGUGUUGGAUUCCCGUAACAAGCUUGAUUAUGCUCCAUUUGCAAUUGUGGAUAUGUUUGGAAAAGAAGUUGGGGACAAGCUAUGUUCAGAAGUGAAAAAAUACAUGAAAAAAUUAUUUGAUUAUUAUGUUGAGAAAUCCUCGAAAAGCUCUUUACAUGUACCAUCUUCACCCACUUCAUCUGACAACUCAUCAAGUAUAUCUAGUGUGAGUGGAUCUGGCAACUUUGUAAAUAGAGGAAGAAUGAGAACGAAACAACAAUUUGAGAAGCAUAAAGAAGUUAGUGGAAGUUCAGGUAGUAAAUCAGAAUUGGAAAGAUAUCUUGCUGAAGAUAUUGAGCCAGUUAGUGAUGACUUUAAUAUAUUAAUAUGGUGGAAAGUAAAUGAGCCGAGAUUUCCUAUUCUCACGAAGAUGGUUCGUGAUGUGUUAGCCAUUCCCAUUUCAAGUGUCGCAUCAAAAUGUGCAUUCAGCACAAGAGGUCGUGUUCUUAAUCCCUUUAGGAGUUCAUUAACUCCUAAACUUGUGCGAUCUAUUAUUUGUGGUCAAGAUUGGCUUAGAAAUGAGCCUUUUCCAACCAACAUUGAGGAAGAUUUAGAGUAUUUUGAGCAACUUGAACUUGGUAAGAAUUUGGUAUUUGUAUUAAUUAUAUUAAAAUAAUUUUCUUACUUUUGUUUCUUAAAAACUAACAAAUUCUUUCAUAUAUUUUUUUUAGAUUUUGCUUGUAAUGGGAUUGAAUCUAGUAUUAUUGAUAUAUAGUUGCAACUUGUAAGUUCAACUAUCAACUAAUGAUGCGUGGUAAUGGGUAAGUAAAGAACUUAUUUCCAUAACUUGCUUGAUAGUUUUAUAUAUUUUAUAUUGAAAUGUAGAUCAUUUGUCUGAAGAGUUCUAUUUUCUCGCAGGCACAUCAAUGUUUUGUUAUUUUCUUGAUUGCUAUCUGUUGGAACUUGGGAACUAUUGCAGUGGAGGUUGCAAGUUACAACAAUGUUUUGUUGGUUUUUUAAUGUUUUGGUUGCUGGCUUGCUGCAAAUUGUAAUGCUGCCUACUGGCAGCUAGACUUUUCACUUUAGUUUGUAACUAACUUUAUUUUAGGGCUGGGCACAAGUUUGUUGAAUUUUCUAGUGUUGUUGGCUUGACUCUUGCUAGUCUUUUUAUUCUUAUUCUCGACUAGUUUGUUAAUGUUGCUGCCUGCUGGACAAGAAUUAUCUAUUUUGUUUGGAUAUUUUAGUCAAUGAUAUGGUAAGUUUCAAGUAAAAGGCUUGUGAGUUGUGACGUGCUUAUAAAGAAGGGUGUCUACUGUCCUGCACUUGUUGAUUUAUGGGUCUUGACUCUUGAAUAUGGUAUCCUCUGGGAGCUCAUUGCAUUUGUUUACUGCUAAGAAACAACUUGAAUGGUUGAAAGUUGAGACUUGGUGAAACAAAUUAAGGCUAAGAAAGUCAAAUUUUGAUCAGUUUAUAAUCAAGUCAGCAGAAAAUUAUCCAGAUGCCACAGCCCACUGGCCGCGUUAAUUAAAUUUGGUUUAAUCGAAAUAAACCGAAUCGAAAUUGUAAUAAAUUUGGUUUGGUUUCAUAUUUUGCCAAACCGAAAACCGAAAAAACAUAACCGAACCGACCGAACACCCAGCCCUAAUCAUAACGAAGGAGCUGGUGCACAAUGGGCGUACUGAAAAAAUUAUUGAUGACAGUAAACAUUCUUUUUCUCCCCACUUUAGUAAUCUUUGUCCCAAUCCUUAUCCUCCAUUUUUCCAUACUCUUUGAUGUACUUAUGUCUGUCUCAUACUCAUGAUAUCAUAUGCUUUUGAAUUAGGGCUCUAAAGGCUUAAACUGGUACAUAUUUGUUUAUUUUGUUUCACAUUGAAGAUAUUAAUUGUGUGUGAGUUUAAGAUGACUAAUAUCCUCAGAUUAACUUACUGUAUUGUUAGCAGAAGUGCACUUGAAAGUGUUGCCCAAGUGGCCAUGAGUUAAAAUGAUAUUGCACUCAUUGAAUGUUAAUCGAGUUCUUUGGUUAUUGGUUUUCAAUGAUGCCAAAAGGGGGAAGUUAUAUGAUGUGGGUUAGGGACAUAUUAUGCAUAGUUUGUGUCAUCAUAAAAAAGGGGGAAAUUGCUGGGAAAUGAGAGAACAUGAAGUUUGUAGUUUUGAUGAUUGACAAAGAGUCUUGAUGGUUUGUAGUUCUUGAUGUGUGACAAAGCAUUGUUUAUCAUCAUCAAAAAGGGGGGAAAUAUUGGGAAGUAGGAGAACAUAUAAAGUAGUUUUGAUGAUUGAUAAAGUGAACAUGGUUCACUACUUGUUGUCUUAUAUGUACUAUAUCAGGUGAACCAAGUUCUCAGACGUGACUGUAGGCAAUUUGUACAAAUAUGAGAGAUUACGGCAAAGAAAAAAAAGUGUAGAAAUAAAUGAGUGGAAAAAGAAAUAAAGAAAGAAUUGAAACACAGGAGCAAAGAAGGAAAGAAGGAAAGAAACAAAUAAGGAAACAAAUAAAGAAGGAAAAGAAGGAAGUCAAAUAAGGAAAUAAAUAAAGAAGUAGCAAUUCAAGUCAAAUAAGGAAAGAAGUAAAUAUAGACAAACUCUAGAAGGAAAAAGAUUUGUUAUUCCUUUCCUUGUAGAAGUUGAUGAAGGCAAAUCAAACUCUAUAAAAGGUUCAAGCCAAAGAAGAAAAAAAUCUUCUUUGCAUAAACACAAAUCGAAAGAAUUUUCCAUAAAGCCAGAACGAUAACUAUUGCAUAUUCACGAAAUUUAUCAUCUUGAGAGAAAAAGUCAUUGGUAAAAAAUCGUUGGACUUCGUUACAGAAACACAAGGACCAAGUUCACGAGUUGUGUUCCACUCUGAACUAUUGAAUGUUGAAGUCUGAUCAAUUAAAGUCUAGGGUUAUUAAUCUUUGUUAAUUUGUUCUAGGUUUAUUAUUGAGUUGUAAUAAUUCCUAGAUUUUGUAACAAGAAGUGGGUUUGACUUCUUGGGGGAGGGGGGGUAGAGUCUUGAGAGAAUUGUAACAAGAAGUGGGUUUGACUUCUUGGGGGGUAGAGUUAAGAGAGAGUUUGUGAGAAUUGUAAACAAGAAGUGGGUUUGACUUCUUGGGUGGUUAGAGUAAAGAAGAGUUGAGAGUUUUUGUAAACAUGAAGCGAGUUUGACUUCUUGGUGAGUUGAGAGUUUUCAAUUAUAGUUAAUCGAAAAGAGUAGAAGUUUAGAGUUAGAUUCAUUGAUUAACUGAGUUGUAAAUCUUUAAUUAAUAUAAAACUUUGGUGUGGUUUUUCCCUUCCUUAAGUUAGGAAGGUUUCCACGAAAUAUUGGUGUUACUGUUUACUAACGUAAGUGUCUUGUGUGUUAUUCAAGAACCUAGUUCUUGAAUAUUGGGUAAGGUUUCUUCAAUACGAUAUAUUUAUAACAAUAGUAAAUAUGUUCCAAAUAAAAGUGAUAACAAAAAUAACCAUAUAAUAAAUAAUAAUAGCUAGAAUAGUGUAUCGAACAAAUUUCUCUUAUUAAUAAGCGAGUACAUUGACCUGCUUAGGGUCAACAUGCCUACUUCAGCUACUGGAAGCAAGCAACUCUUCAUUGACAUGCCUACUUUUAUCCGAGGGUGGUUGUAACACCUCGCAACUAGAAAGAAGUUUAAAAUCUGGAAAUAGUCAUUUUUGGAAAGUAUAAGGAAAUCUGGAAAAUUUUAAGCAAGUUAAAGUGAGUUUUUGGUCAACUUCAAACGACCAUAACUCCUAGAUCAGGAUGAUUUAGGUGUAGUUCCAGAUAUGGUUGGAAAUCUCUUAGAAUGAUGUUUCCAACGCCGCCAAGUUUGCAUGAUUCCGAGUUUGGAUGAGUGAGUUAUACCCUUUGGAAGUUGGGCUGUUGGAUUAAAGAAAUGUCCAAUCCGGAACUUUAAGGGGUAUUUUAGUCUUUUCAUUGCCAUAUUAUUUUAAUCCAUUUUUAGGAGUUUAAUAUGGCUCAAAUCAGAUUUUAGUCAGUUUUAGAAUUUGGGUUUUCACGUUAGGGCUAAGGAGAAAGGAAAAGAAGAAGCAAGAACGUUCAAGAUCGUCGAAGUUUGGCUUGUGGAAUUCAUCGGGGGUGAUCCCUACAAGGUAUGCAAGAUCACAUAGCGUCGGGUUAGUUCACCCACGCGCCAAGCAUAUUUAAUUCAGUGAUUUUCAUUUUAAAAGAGUUAGAAUUUGAUGUCUUGAGUUGUGUUCUUGAAUUGUUUUCAUUCUUGAACUUACAUGUGAUUGAUGGGUUUCUUGAGACGUUUUAGCAAUUGUUAAGAGGUGUUUCGAGUUAGAUUCUAGUGUACAUGUGUUGGGUAUCUGAAUCUAAGAAAGUAUUGAGAAAAGAAAUCGAUUUAAAAUGAUUUAGGAUCAGAAUACGAGUUGAAAAACUCGCCAGACGCACCUGGGAGGGCCAGGCGCGUCGCACCCCCAUAGCACCAGGAGGCUGGGGCGGCGCUCCUGUAGUGCGCCCAAAACAAGCCCCAGUAAGUUGGGGCUUGGCGCGGCGCGCCAGGGACGCGCCCGGAUCGAUGUUUUUCACCAAUUUUCGUCGUUUAGCCUAUUUAAGUUAUUCUAAAGUGUCCUAACAAUUUCCAUUGAUUCUAACUACUCUAAAUAAUUUCUAAACACCUAGAAAUCAUCCAGAAACAUGAGUCAUAACCUUGAAUCCAUAAAUUCAAAUUCAAGGAAAAUCAAGAGCCAAGUCUAGGAAGUUCUUCGAGUCUUUUCAAUAAAGUCUUUUGCAAAUGCUUUUUACUAUGUUUUAAAACUUAAGUUUCAAGUUAAGCAAAGAGUAAAGAGUUGAGUUCAUUUCUAACAAAGCUAUUAAGGGAACUAAGUAUUCCCAAAGAGUUUAUAAAUGUUUUCACAUUUGAGCAAGAAAAGGGAACAUCGAUUCCAAGAGAGCUUUUAAGCUAAGUUUUGAGUAAUUAUCUCAAACCAAAGAAAGAAUUUGGUUUAAAACAUAUGAGCUAAGUAUAUUUUUUGGAGUAGUAUUGAGCACCGAUAUGGGGAUGCGAGUUCAUAUUAACUCAAGUCUUCAUACACCAUGUAGCCAUCAUGGGUAUUAAUGGGUCAUACUUUUUAGAUGAUCACAUACGUUAAGCUAGUGGAUCCACUAAGUUAAGCAUUUUAUAUGACGGCAAAGUAUAUGAUAGUUCUGGCAGCGUGGGCAAGACGUUGUAUCACCACUUAGGCUCAUAGUAGUGGUUGUCGGUUAGAGAAUCUCCUACAAAAACUAUAUUAUUUUAGUAUAUGAGUAAAGUUGAGUUUGUUACUGCAUUUCCUUUAACGAACUAAGUUUCUGUUACUGUAUAUAAAGCUUUUCAUAUAUUGCAUGUGUCCAUUGCUUUAUUUUGAGUUAAGUUAUCCAGGAGUUGAGAAGAGCCAAGGUAAGUGUUUCUUUCAGAAUCUUUUCAAGCCUAUGUUUUUUAGCAUUCCAACUCGCAUACUCGUACAUUCAAUGUACUGAUACCAGUUGGCCUGCAUCUUAUUAUGAUGUAGACGCAGGUAACCAGGAUCAACAUCCAGCGCCUCGUUGAUCCAGCUUGAGCAUUCAAAGUCUGGUGGUGAGCCUCUUUGCAUACCGAAUGACUCUUUUAUUCGCUUUUUAGUUUAGUUCAUUAGGAUGUUGUGGGGAUUGUCCCAACAUCCAUCUCAGUUGUUUAGAGGCUUCAUAGACAGUUAGUAGUCAGAUGUCUUUACAUUAUCAUUUCAUAUGUUGAGACUUGAGUUGCCAUUUUGGCCAAAUUGAAUGUUGACUAUUCAACCUUCUGAGUUAUUUCACGAAAAUUAUUCGAGUAAGUUCACUUUGAUCAUAGUAAGCAUGUUUAGAGUCUUCCGCUGAGUCAGUAAGCCAGGCUAAGGGUUCGCUUGAGGCUAGCAAUAGUCUUCAAGUUACAGUCCCGCCCAGGGUGUAGGCUCGGGACGUGACAAACUUGGUAUCAGAGCCCAGAGUUCAAGAGUCCUAGGGAGUCUAUGAAGUCGUGUCUGUAGAGUCCUAGUUAUCGGUGUGAAGCGUGCCACAUCUAUAAUUAGGAGGCUGCAACAUUUAGGAAUUCUUUCACUUCUUUCAUACUUUUUUCAUGCGUUAGAGUUUGAUCUCUAAAAAGUUUCUUCUAAUUCGUGCUUGAGCGUGUUUUCAGAUAAUCAUGCCUCGACGAAGAGCUGUCAGAGGUCGUCCUGCGAGACGCAAUAUUGAGGAACAAGAGUUACCCAAUGCACCUGAAGUGCAACCUCAAGGAGAAGUCACCAAUGCUGAGUUCUGUAAGGCUAUCCGGAUGUUGAGCCAAGCUGUGACUAACCAGGUUGGGUAGCAAAGAGGGGCUCGAAAAGAAGAGGCUGACACUUCAAGGAUUCGUGAGUUCUUGAGGAUGAAUCCUCCAAGUUUCACUGGUUCAAGCACUACUGAGGAUCCAGAGAACUUCAUUGAGGAACUGAAAAAGGUAUUCGAUGUGAUGCAUGUUGCUGAUACUGGGAGAGUUGAACUAGCUGCAUAUUAACUGAAGAAUGUUGCUAGGACCUGGUUUGAUCAGUGGAAAGGGGGUAGAGCUAAUGAUGCACCACCUGCGAGUUGGGCCUGUUUUAAGGAAGCUUUCUUGGGGCGUUUCUUUCCCCGAGAACUGAAAGAGGCCAAGGUACGUGAGUUCCUCACACUUAAACAGGAUUCUCUGAGUGUUCAUAAAUAUGGGUUGAAGUUCACCCAACUAUCCCGUUAUGCUCUGGAGAUGGUUAAGGACAUGAGAAGUAGAAUGAGCUUGUUCGUUCCUGGGUUGGGCCUUCUAUCAAGCAAAGAGCGCCGGGCAGCAAUGCUUAUUAGGGAUAUGGACAUUUCGAGGUUGAUGGUUUAUGUGCAACAGGUUGAGGAAGAGAAGCUAAGGGACAGGGAAUAGUUCAGAAGUAAGAAAGAGAAGACAGGGAAUGAGUCUGGGCAGCAGAAAGGUAAUGUGAACCAUUCGUCCUUUUAGCAAAAGCAAAAGGGACCUGCUCCAUCAUCUGCUAGUGCACCUGCACCCCGAAACAAAUGUGAGUAUAAUGGCCACAACUCGCAGAACUUCAGAGCUAGAUCUGCACAGUCUCAAGGUAGUGUGGCGCAAGGAGGUAACUGGGCUCCUGCAUGUGCUAAGGGUGGUAGGAUCCACCCAGGUAAGUGUCGUGAUGGCCAGACAGGUUGUUUCAAGUGUGGGCAAGAGGGUUACUUCUUGAAAGAGUGCCCUAAGAACAGGCAAGGUAGUGGAAAUCAGGGCAAUAGGGCCCAAUCUUCAUUAGUUGCUCCACCAGACAGGGCUGCACCUAGAGGAGCUACUUCUGGCACUGGCGGAGGAGCAAACCGCCUCUAUGCAAUCACUAGUCGCUUAGAGCAAGAGAACUCUCCAGAUGUUGUCACUGGUAUGAUCAAAGUCUUUACUUUUGAUGUUUAUGCUUUGCUAGACCCAGGAGCAAGUUUAUCUUUUGUAACCCCUUAUGUUGCAAAUAAGUUUGAUGUUCUUCCUGAGAAACUUUGUGAACCCUUUUGUGUGUCUACACCUGUUGGGGAGUCUAUUCUAGCUGAGCGAGUUUAUCGUGAUUGUGUCAUUUCCAUUAAUCACAAAGACACCAUGGCUGAUUUAAUUGAAUUAGAAAUGGCAAAUUUUGAUGUCAUUCUAGGUAUGGACUGGCUUCAUGCCUAUUAUGCAUCAAUAGAUUAUAGGCUCGGGGAGUGACAACGGUUUUGAAAUUUCUAUAUUUUUUUAAUUUGUUAGAUAUUUAAAAAUUACGUAAGAAAAUUUUAAAUCAUAAUAAUUAGCAACUUAAAAUAUUUAAAAUUCAUGUAUUCUUUAGAAUCUAUUAUAUAUUUUUAAAAAUGAGUAAACUGUACUAUAAGUCACAAUAAUUAGCAACUUAAAAUUUUUAAAAACAUAUAAAAAAUUUAAAUGGUUCUCAAAAUUCUAUCAGUGUCAUUAGUUAAAAAUGUAUGUGCAUUGAGUUUUAUACCAAAGAAAAGAUUACUUGAUAUUGUAGCCAAAAAACAAAAAAAAUUAAACGAUUACUAAAGUUGUACAUUGAUCUCAAAUUCUGGGCGAAGUACAUCAGUACCUAUUUUUAAAGUCGUCAUUUAACUAAUAUUUGUUGUCUAUAUAUUUGUAUAUAGGUUUAUUUGUGUUUGAAAAUAAUUUAGGUAUACAUAAUCGAGGUUGAAAAUCCACAUCUGAAGUACGUGUAAAUAUUGCUCGAAAUUGGGGAGGGGGUGAGGUGGGGUGGGGGUGACAAUUGCCUUCUUUUCCUCUAAAUUAAGCUCAAACUUGAAACAUAAGUUUUAUGUACCAUAAAACACAAAACACAAACCUUAAUCAUCAAUUUCUCAAAAUUAUAAUAAAUCUAACAAAUUCAUUUAGUAUUUUUUUUUAAUGUAUGCCUAUCGUGUGCGCUCAAUCAUAAAUAUAUGUUAAAAAUAACAAAAAAAAUUUAGAUGUAUACGUCUGAAAUGUAAAAAUAAAAACAGAAAAAAUAAACUAGAAAUAACAUAUGUUUUGGUCUAGAAGUUAUCUAUUACUGAAUCACACCCACAUAGAAAAAAAAACACACACAAAAAAUUCAAUUUAAUAAAGCAGACAAAAUAGAAUAUCCAUGACUCUUGAUGUUCAACUAUUUUUUCCAAUGUACUGGGGAUAUCAUAAACAUAAAUAAGCUAAAAAGGAAACAUAAGAAAAUAGAGAAAUUAUUUUAGAUCUUUUGUUGGACUUUGCUACUUUCUGUCCUAUCUAUUUAGAUUUGGUCUUAUAAAUAUUAUUAUUAGUUUAUAUAUCCCUUAUAACAUAUUUGUGAGGUAUAAUAUAAUGUUUUUUUGUUAAAUAGAACACAUAACAUCAUUUUAGAAUAUUUUUUCUAGUUAAAUUGUCAGGCAAUACAAAGUCAUUUUCUCAUAAUGUCUUGACGUAGACUUUAAUUUUCCUUGUUAUACAUGCCAACAGGGCAAAGCUAGAAGUUCUGCCCUGGCAGCGUGAGGCAAAACGUUGUAUCAUCACAAUAGCUCUUAAGUGAUGAUUGUCGGUUAGAAAAACUCCCACAUAAAUAUUUUGUAUUAUUAUAUACACAGAGUUACUUGUAUUUUUACAUACAUCCAGAGUUUAUAUUGUAUAUUUGCAUACAUACAGGUUACUAUUGUAUUUCUAUAUACACAAAGUUGAUAUCCAUGUUUUAAAGCUUUCUUUAUAAUGCACUUAUUUAUACUGCUUUAUAUUGAAAUGAGUUCAGUUCAGUUCAGUUCAGUUGAGACCAGGUUUGUUCUUUUAGUUCCUUUCAAGCUUAUGUCUUGUUUUAGUAUUCCCCUUGCAUGCUCAUACAUUCAAUGUACUGAUGCCAAUUGGCCUGCAUCUUUUUAUGAUGCAGAUACAGGUAACCAGGGUCGGCAUCCAGCGCUUCGUUGAUCCCGUUGAGCAUUCAGAGUCUUGUGGUGAGCCUCCUUGCUUUCCGGAGAAUCCCUAUUUACAUUGCUUUAGUAAUUUUCAGUUGCUAGGAUGAUCGGGGGUCUUGUCCCGACAUCCCUCUUAGUUUUAGAGGCUUUAUAGACAGUCGGUUAGUUCAUUUGUCUUUACCUUGUUAUUUGCUUAUGUUUUGAGACUUGAAUUGCCAUUUUGGCUAGUUGAAUGUUUCUUUAAAGACAUUCUAAGUUUAUUUCAUGAGUUCAUUUUUUGAGACUAUUUUCUUGUUAUUUAAGUCUUCCGCUGAGUAGUAAGUCAUGCCAAAGAUUCGCUUGGGGCCAACAAUGGUUCUCGAGUGCCAGUCCCGCCUAGGAUGUAGGCUCGAGGCGUGACAAUUUCACUCGUAAAAUCACUGAAUAAUUUGUAAUUUGAAUUGAUUAAGAAGUCUAACCGUAUUCUCUUAUUAUAUAAGAGGGAGUUUGCACAAAGCCAGCUCCUCCCCGUCUGCAUGCCUGCUUGGCAUAGGGGUAGUUUUGGUAUUUUAUAAUUAUUUUUCUACUAAUUUAUUGUACUUUGUGCUAUUGAGCAUGUACUUUUUCCAAAUAAGACAAAACAGCCAACUACUAUUUUGUUCCCUAUACACUUUAUCUUGAGAGUAUGGGACCUACUUCGUUAAAUUUUAAAGAGGCAGCUGGCAUGCAAACCGGAAGAUCUGAAGUAAUUUAUAUUUAUAUUAGCACUAACGAAUUAUUAUAUGCAAAAAUCUUAAUAAUAGGAUAAAUUUUAUCCACAGUAAUAAAAUAAAAUUAAAAAAGCCCCCAAAAGUGAGAAAAAAUCAGUUUAUCACGAAAAUUUCCACAGUGUUAUUGGAAGCUUAAUAAAGAAAUAUUCUUCAAAAGUAUUUAUUAUAAAAACAAUAAAUGAAAUGUAAAAGACUAGCAUAAUGAAAUAUUUUAAAGUGCAACCAAUACUUAAAUUAUUCUAUUUUUAAAGAAUGAGUAAUAUAUGAUAUACUUAAAUAAUAUUUAAAAUUAGACAAAUAAAUUAAAAUAAAGAAAAUAUUUUUAUACUCAUAAAAUUUUAAAAACUUAAAUUAAAAUGCAUUUUUUAUUAAUGCCUCAAAAUAACUAAGUUCAUACUUAAGGGACAACUUGGUUAAAAGACAAACUAUAAAUAGAAAUUCUAAUUUAAAAAUUAGUGUUGCUAAUUAGUAAUGCAACAAUACAAAAAAAAUCACAUAACUUACAUAAUUUAUGAGAAAAAUAACCAAAUGUUAUAUGAAUUAACAAUGAUUUUCAUAUAUGUUGAUUAAGUUUUAAGUGAAGAAAAUAAUAUAUAUAGAUGAUUUACUACUAUCACAAAUAUUUAUAAUUUAUUUUAAAUAAAAAAAUUAAAAUUAUUUAAUCAAAAUUACUUUAGAAUUACAAAAAGUUAAUAAUAUUUAUCAAAUAUUCAUUUUACAGUAGUAUGAACGUUUACUGCCCUAUAAAUACAUAAAACUUAUUCAAAGUUGAUCAAUAUUGUAGGUUAAAAAUUAAUUUAUGAAUAAACAUUGACUGCACGGGCUCUUCGUCACUAGUGUAUAACAAAAAAAAAAGUUUCUACCAAAAAGAAAAAUAUAACAAAAAAGUUGUAUUCAACCACCUUUGAUAAUAGUGUAAAUGAAGAGUUGCACACAUAAGGUGGGGGGACCUUGAGGGGAUUUUAAUUUCAAGAAAAAGAAGGCAAUUGAUACCACCAUAACUUACAACCACCCCGACUGCAAAUGCAACACCUGGAUAAUAUACAAUUAAAUUUCGUUAAUUAUAAUGAUGACAUUUGUCUGAAUAUUUUGUGGCUGUUAUAAUAAUAGAUUAUUAUAUAUUUAUACUAAUAUUUGAUGUUUAGAUAUCAUUUAGAUAUUAUACGUGAGAAUAAAUGACAUGUGUAAUUUUUCAUGGUAAAAUUAUGACAAUAUAUAAUGAGCACCAUUUAAAUAUAAUUUUCUUUAGAUAUUCGUAUUUAAAAUUUACUAUAUAUGUGUGUGACAUUAAUGAUGAUCACCAUAGAUAUUUUAGUAUUUUAUUUUUAUAUAUAAUAUAUUUCUUACAAAAUAUUUAAAUAUGACGGUAUAAAAGAGUAAUUUUAUAAAGAGUGUACUUAUACUAUAAUGAAAGUCACUCUUGUUAUAAGUAUAAUGAAGUUGUAGAGAAGUAAAAUAUAACACGAAAAAUCGAUUCUAAAGAAAAUCAUACCGUUAUAAUAAAAUAUUGUUAUAACAAAUGAUCAUUAUAAUUAACGAGGUUUGACUGUAUAUCCUCGAAAUUUCAUUUUAAUUUAUUUCAUCCGAAAUUAAGUUUUUUUUUCUUUUCAAUACAUCUUCGGAGGUACAUAAGGGCCUUUGGGUCUAUAUGUUUGUUAAAAAGAAGAUAUCAGAACUACUUAAAAAAGGAAAAGAGGAAAUAAAAACAUUCCAAAAUUAUCUAUAUAGCAAUAAUGAUUUUCUGAUGUUCUUGAAUUCCUCAAGGUAUGUAUUUACAUCGAGAGGUUUAUGAAUAAGAGAGUUGAGACCAUGCUUCAAUUAUAUAUAUGGUCCCCAUAAAGGAAGAAAAUUCAUUCAAUUUUAUUUUAUAUCACAUUAAAACCAUAUUUGAUUUUUUGGUUAAUAUGGGAGUGCAUCCAUACUUUCUGUUUUUCAAUGUUUUGGAUUGUUAUAAAAAAAAUUAAAACAAGAACGGGGCAGAGCCAGGUAGUAUCGAGGGGUUCAUUCGAACUCCUUUUGACAAAAAAAUACAUUAUAUAUAUAUAUAUAUAUAUAUAUAUAUGUUGAACCUCAUUUAGCUUCUUCGUGUGUUUUCUUCUCAUACUUUGAUCCCCUUAGUGAAAAUCCUGAUCCGCCACGGAAUAAGAGGAAAGUUGAAGAGUAGAGCAUCUAACCUUGAAUUUGAUAACUAUAUAUUCCCAAUUCCUUCUGGCUAAAGUCGAAUAUCUUUUAGAAAAAUGGUGCUACUACUUCACCAAAUCUAUUUAGAGCAAAACGUUUCUUAUUUAUGGAGUUACUAAAUUCAGUAAGAUUUUGGUUACGUACUCAUAUUAGUAUGAAUUAUGAAGUAAUUAAUCAAAACUUGUUAAAUCAUAUUCAGUACUGCUUUUAAAUAAUAUAUUGAUACACCAUACUGAAGAAAAACCAAUUUUCUUUUAUUGUAUUUACUUUCAUGGUCAAAACUCAAAAGGUUCAUAAAAUAUGUACAUAUAGUUCAUGACCAUUGUAAUAUUAAUUUCUUUGUGAACUUCAAAUGAAAUAAUACAAGGAUUAACAAGAGAAUAACAAUAGAAAACAAAUUUCAAUUACAACCCUUCAACAUAAAUAUAUUUCUAAAUGGUCAAUGUUUGGCCUACAAAAAUACAAGAUUUUAGGCCAUGCAUGCUAUAUAAUCUUUAGUAUCUAAGCAUUGACUAAAACUAAAUCUAUAGAAAAAUGAGCCAUAAAUUAACGUAGUUGUUAUCUUAAUAAGAUCACAAAAAAAUCCAAUAUGCACUAACCUCUCACUGUAUACGAGAUUCAAGAAGAACAAGAUCAAUACAUAACGUACAUUUUCAUAAUUUGAUCGAAUUUGUGACUUCCUGAUCAUACUGCAACUCUUAUGAUUACGCUAACGCUCGUUUUCGAUCUUUACACGAUAGCAGUACCAAAUUGACUAAUAAAAAAUAGAUCUAGUAGUUGGAAGAUUAAUGAUCACACACAAGGAAGUUAGGACACGAAAAAGAAAAACCUACAGCUAAUAGAGCGUUGCUUCAUUUAAUCCUCUCAUCUGCCCUCCAUUCAUUACACUUUCCCUCUUUUACUCUUUAAAUUUCCAUUUUCUUCUCUUAGCUCUAUUCAUCCUUCCCUUCACUUGUAAUAUUUUUCACUCAAAAAUGCCUGAAGUUGUCCCAAAUUUCUCUAAUUCAGUAAAGUUGAAAUAUGUUAAACUUGGUUAUCAAUAUCUUGUUAAUCAUAUUUUAACAUUUUUGCUUGUGCCUAUUAUAAUUGGUGUUACUAUAGAGGUAUUAAGAAUUGGCCCUCAAGAGUUGCUAAACAUAUGGAAUUCACUACACUUUGAUGUUCUACAAAUGUUGUGCUCUUCUUUUCUCAUCAUCUCUAUAGCCACUGUUUACUUCAUGUCGAAACCACGAUCAACUUACCUAGUAGAUUAUUCAUGUUAUAAGCCUCCGGUUGUUUGUCGUGUACCAUUUUCAACUUUCAUGGAGCAUUCCAGGCUUAUUUUGAAGGAUAAUCCCAAGAGUGUGGAGUUCCAAAUGCGCAUUCUUGAAAGGUAUGGUUACAUGAUUAAUUUGUACUAUUCAGGGGUCGUUUGGUAUGGGGAUGAGAUAAGCAAGUGUAUUCAAUGUGCGUCAAGCACAUCUAUGAUUUUGAAGUAAUAACUAGUAAAGGAGUUGGUAGACACCUUCUAUAAUAUGGGAUAGUAAUCACACCUUUUUAGUACAAAUGUUACGAUAAAAUAAUCCUGAGAUUUGUUAGUACGAUCAAAUCAAACAUGGUAUAAAGUUUUUCUUGAAUUUUGUUCCAGAAUUAUUAUCCUUAUCCCACGUACCAAACGAUCCCUAGUUUUUACAUUAUCUGAAAUAUUAUAUCUUUGCAUAUUAUAGUAUUUUCAAGAUUUCAAUUAUUCCAACAUUUUAAAGUGAUUUACCUCUAAAUAUCAUUUGAAUGGCUCGAUGGAUAAAGCAUUUACAUAAACACUUUAUAAAGUGAGAUUAUCCCACAUUUCAAGAAAAACACGAGUUUGAAAGCUUUUGUAUGUUAAAAGGUUUUAUUUAAAACUAGAAUUUCGAUAUAAAUGUAAAUUUAAGUUUUGAAUUUAAAGGAACAUGUUUGUUUAUGAAAUAAGAUGUAUUUUGAUCGAGCUAUCCUAUUGAGAAGGGGUUCAAUUGAAUUCCUUCCGUUCAAAAUUAUGUUGCAUAAAUAUGGUAAAAUUAAUUUUUUGUGUGUUUAGACAAGUGAAAAUGUGCAUAUUUUAAAUCUCCUUUCUAAAAUUUCUAGCUCCGACAGCUCUACAACCAUGCCUUCUUUGGGAAACGACUAGAGAUAUUUUGCAUUAUCCAAUUGUUUUGUUGUACACCGUUUGAGCUCCUAGCUCCGCCUCUGCCUCAAGUAUCUCUUCAAGAAAACUUGUUAUGGCGAGUCAUUCUUACUUUAUGUUGUGCUAUAUUAUUUCUCACAGGUCGGGGCUCGGAGAAGAAACUUGCUUGCCUCGUCCCAUCCAUUACAUCCCUCCAACGCCAACUAUGGAAGCUGCGAGAGGUGAAGCAGAGGAAGUCAUAUUCACAACAAUUGAUGACUUAAUGAACAAAACAGGGCUCAAACCAAAAGACAUUGACAUUCUCAUUGUCAAUUGCAGCUUGUUUUCUCCAACUCCGUCUUUGUCAGCUAUGGUAGUCAACAAAUACAAAUUAAGAAGCAACAUAAAAAGUUACAAUCUCUCUGGUAUGGGAUGCAGUGCUGGUUUAAUCUCGAUUGAUUUAGCUCGAGACCUUCUUCAAGUUCAUCCGAAUUCAUAUGCUUUAGUUAUUAGCACUGAGAUAAUAACUCCCAAUUAUUACAAAGGUUCGGAAAGAGCAAUGCUCCUCCCGAAUUGUUUGUUCCGAAUGGGAGGUGCAGCCAUACUGUUAUCCAACAAAAGACGCGAUAGAUACAGAGCCAAGUACAGAUUAAUGCACGUGGUCCGCACCCAUAAGGGUGCAGACGACAAAGCAUUUAAAUGUGUAUUUGAACAAGAAGAUCCACAAGGGAAAGUUGGUGUUAAUCUUUCAAAAGACCUUAUGGUUAUAGCAGGGGAAGCUUUAAAAUCGAACAUUACUACGAUUGGUCCUCUUGUUCUUCCUGCCUCAGAGCAACUACUCUUUCAACUAACACUUAUUGGACGGAAGAUUUUUAAUCCGAAAUGGAAGCCUUAUAUCCCGGAUUUCAAACAAGCGUUUGAACAUUUCUGUAUCCACGCGGGUGGUAGAGCUGUUAUCGAUGAGCUUCAGAAGAAUUUACAAUUGUCUGGUGAACAUGUAGAGGCAUCAAGAAUGACACUACAUAGAUUUGGUAACACAUCUUCAUCAUCAUUGUGGUAUGAGAUGAGUUAUAUUGAGGCAAAAGGAAGGAUGAAGAGAGGUGAUAGAGUAUGGCAAAUAGCAUUUGGGAGUGGAUUUAAGUGUAAUAGUGCAGUUUGGAAGUGUAACAGGACAAUCAAGACACCAACUGAUGGACCAUGGCAACAUUGUAUUGACAAGUAUCCAGUUCAUAUUCCAGACAUUGUUAAGCUGUAAAAUAUAUUACUCUCUCUCUCUUUCUUUAUUUACACGCCCUUUAAAGAAACAUUAAUUAGGAGGAGUUGUGUGUGUCAUAAUUGAAAACUUCCACAACAUUUACUAUGAAAGGAUAAAUUAGGAAUACAUAAUUUCUUUGUUUUGAACUUCUAUACCAAAUAUUUUUAACAAGGAUGACAAUUGACAAGGAGAGAGUAUGAGGUUGUUGCUCAAUAUUAGUAUUAGCAUUGGUCUCUCUCAUUUGGUUGAGAACAAGUUAUUCUGAAAUUAAUUAUUUGGGAUUAAUUAUCUCAGAAUUGUUAGUUCAUCCUUAACGUGGAAUAAAAAUAACAUUACAAUUUCGAAAUAAGUUAUUUUCCCAUUUUAUCCCAACCAAAAAUAAAAUAAACUUGACUUAUAAUUAAUCUAGAAAUUAGUUGUCAAAACUACGGGUUCAUUGAAUUCCUUACACUAAGGCUAUAUUCGCCACAUAUAUAAUAGUGAUCUCUUGAUUACUUCUUUAAGUGUCGAGAACACUUAGAAAAAAAUUAAGCGUAACAAAUAAUUGAUUACUUCUUUAAAUGUCGAUAGUACUUAGAGAAAAAAUCAGCGUAACAAACGAAGGAAUGUGAAGAUAAAGUUAUAAAAACGUACACAAGAUUAAUAAUUGCCUUGAUUUGAACCAGUGCUAUAAAUUAAAGUAAAAGAUAUUUAUGUCAUUUUUUUUCUUUUUUAGGUGUUCUAUAUUGAUAUUUAUUGAUCCAAUUAAUUUAUAGGUGGUUCACGUUAGAGGGCAAAUUGUAAACUUUUAGCUGCAAACACAUGUUUCAUUUGGUGAGCAAGGACCACUAGUUCAACUCAAUUAAUUAUUGCUACUACUAAUUAACCAAGUAGCCAUAUGGAGUAUAUUGUAGUACUGCUUGGAGACAUUUAUUAAUGAAGCUAGAGUCUUGAAAGUUCACAAUCUCUAAUUUUUAGUCCAUGUGUCCUAUUUUGCUUGCUUUGUUUACUUAAUAUCUUAUUGAUAUAUAUAUAUAUAUAUAUUAGAAAAAGAAGAGCUGUUUUCGACAAAUGAUAUCGAGCUAAUAAAAAUAUGUAUAAACAAUAUAUCAAUUCUAUGGAAAAUGAAUCAUGCAUAAAUAAUAAGAGGUGUCGUGGGGAUAUGAUUGGUUGAUGACAUAAUAUUGAUUGAUGAGACACAUAAUAAAAUUAAUAAUAGGCUGAAAGUUUGGACACAGGCCCUAGAUUAAUGUAAAGGUUUUUGCUUUAGUUGAAGUAAGAUAUAAUACUCCAACUUAUUAUUAAGAACUAAUUGUUUUUAAUUCAUUUUUCAAUAUUUAAAUGACUUAUAAUAAUUAAUGAUAUUAUAAGAAAAUUAUUAUUAUUAUUAUUACUAUUUUGGCAAGGGAUAUGUCAUGGUUGUACCGAUUUCAUAUCUCAAUUCUCAAGUAAACUUAAUUGAACACAUGGAAAAAAGUUCAACUUACCAUUAUUGGAUGUUUAAGCUCAAUUUGUCUAUUUUACUAAGAAAAAGAAUUUAUAGUUUUAUACCUAUGUAUCUUUUUUGUUUAUUUUGGAAUUGGUUAGAUGGAUUGCUGGACUGGGUAUUGGACAUCACAUCUGUCUGCUUUGGGCUUAACAUUGAAGAGAAUAUCUACUAAGAUGAGUGGACACAAAACUAGCAAAUCGAUUGGGACACAAUCUCUAUAUAUAUUAGGUACAUGGUUUCUUCAAAUCACAUAUUACUAUAAUAGCUGUUGAAGUCUUAACUAGAAUGUUAAAUAGUCUAUAUGAAAAUCCUAGGUUCAUUAGCUUUCACAUGCAACCAAAUGGACCUAGGAUUAAUCAUAUGUCUUAUGCUGAUGACAUCAUUAUUUUAUGUGCAGGUAAAUUAUAUAUUCUACAUUUAGUGAUGAAUGUUCUCAAUAGAUAUGAACAAAGGUACAUAUAGAGUUGUUAAAACGGAUCAACCCAACCUUAUCCAGCCUAAGUUUUGCGGGCCAAGAAAUUUGAUGGCACAGGUGGAUUGGCCCUUCAUUUGAAAGGGAUUGGAAACAGUUGAUCCUAGAAGGGUCGCGGGCUGGAACGGGCUAGCCCUUCUUUCUUUUCUUCUUCUUUUCAAACUUAAAAUUCUAUCAAUAUACUGUAUUUGUAACAUAUCUAACAAAAUGAUGUGAAGGUACAUAAUAAUUACAAUUAUAACAUACAUUUUAUACGUGCUUUCAAUUACAAUCUCAUAUCUUAAAUAUAUAUAAUAUCAAGAAAAUGAGAAGAUUUUCAAAUCAAAUGUAACAAAUAAUGAUGUUGUUACAAUAAUUCUAGCAACAAAUGUUAAAGAAAAAAAAUAUUUUCUGACAUAAAUAAGUAAAGAAAAUUUUAAAAAACAAACUUAUAAAUUAAAGAACAAUUACAUUGUAUAACUUUAUUUAUUUUAAUUCAAAUUUGGACCGUAGUUAUAAGCCCUAGUUUUAAGUGAAUUUGAAAUUUUAAUCCCAAUUUUAUCUCACUAACGAAUUGAAUUAGGUUAACUCCAUAAACUAAGCUCAUUUUGACGGCUCUAGAGAUAUAGCAAUCUAGUAGACUUUAGUAACAAAAGCUAUAUUCUUUCAUGAUCAUUAACAUCCCAUAUGACUCCCCAAAACAAGACGCGACAAUUUCUCCUUCAAUUAUUUUUUAUAUCGUUAGAUUGCCUUUUUUGAUUUGAGGGUCCAUCGAAAAAAAUUCUACAUUUGAAAGAUGAGAGUUCAAAUAGUGUUGUAUUGUUACGGUGAAAUUCCUGAUUGGUAUGGUGAACUUGUGGUGGUGUAACCGAGGAGGGUGAAAAAGAGAGAAUUUGUUUUUGAGGUGUGUAUACCUGUGUAUAUUAUUUGUAUAUCUAUGUAUAUAUUUCAUGUGUAUACAAGUAUUCCCUUGUAUAUUUGUGUAUUUCAAUUAAAAAAAAUAUUGACUAUUUCCGAAUGACGUUUUUCUGGUUGAUUUCAAUUCUGAAUUUUUUUCAAAGCAUUCCAAAUCACUACCAAUCUUUUUAGAUUUUGUAUACAACGUCGUUCAGUUUUUUCAACAAAUUUCAGCCACAUUCACUUAAAAAGUAAUUAAAAAGUGAGAUAAUAUCAUAAAAGUUAUAUGUUAUUAAAUAUUUUUGAGUUAUCGAUGCCAAUACAAAUUGUUAAUUAAGCGGCUCUAGGUGGAGUUUUAGGCAAAAAUCAUCCCUCAAGUAUAACCUAAACUUAGAGUACAUCCUUAUGAUAUAAUUGUGAACAAAAAACAUCCUUAACAUCCUUUCUGUUAACUACUGUUAAAAAACUAAUAGAAACAAAUACAUGUGCUAGGCACAUGACUUCCUCUAAAUCUCCAUAUACUGUAGAUUGAUUUCUUCAUCUUCAUGAACAAUAACACACAAGAAGUUGGAACUCUUCUUUCAUGCUUUUGUGUAGAAAAAUGAUCUGCUCCAAUUGUCCCACUUUCAGUCUAACCUUCAGCAAAGCUUUGCUAACCGAGGGUUGUAAUUGAAUGCUCAUAUAACUGAUCAUUGCACUCAAAUUUUUGAAAGAAACUAAUAGCACUCGAUAAUUUAGAAGAUGCACAGUCGUUCGCAAUUCAGGAGAGCUCUUGAGACACAAUUUGGAGAGAAAAUUAUUAAUGAUGAUGCAGUUAUAUGAGACAAUAAGACUAAUGUUAAUAAGAAGUACACCAAGCAUGUUGGCCUAAAGAGAGAUUUUUUCUUGGUUGUGCGAGGUGCCGCUAGAAAUUCGAUAAGGUGCUUAUUAUUAAAAGUGUCACCUAUAGAAACUUCAAUGCAAUGAUAAAGAAAAUUCGGAAUCUCUAUUCCUACGUGUUGUUUCUUGUUUUUCAACCUACAAAAUCUGAUGAUUUUGAAUGUGAAAAAGAUAUUUAGUUUGAGAAAUAACAAAAAUAGUACAAUAUUGGUAAAAUAUAUCAAAUCUUUUUCAAUGGCUAUUUCUUUUGCCCCAACUUCAAUUCUUAUGUUGAAAAAGAACUUGUAUGGUUGCUUUUAAGUUUAGAAGAACAAGAAGUUUUGUUUCUAGAAGACACAAGCCCUGUUGAAUAUAUAAAACGAUCAGAAUUCGGGAGGAAAUCAGUAGGAUAGUAUAUGGGAUUUGGGGAAGUCAUGUGCUUGGCACAUGUAAUUGUUUCUGUUAGUUUUUUAACAGUAGUUAACAGAAAGGAUGUUUAUGCAUGUUUUGAGAUAGUUAAAUGAUGUUUUUAUUCAUAAUUAUUUGUUCCCUUAGUUUGGGUUAUACUUGAGGGAUGAAUUUAGCCUAAAACUCGCUCUAGGUGUGUUGCAUCCUAUUCUGAAUCAGUCGAAAUAAUCGACAAAUUAAUGGCUCUUCUAUUUUAAGAAUUUAUUAGAAAACUUAUGCGUCUUGCAACUGCUUUAACUCUAUUAGUCAAGCAUCGAUAAUCUUUAAAAUUAAUCUAAGUGCACUUGAGGGAUUAUUACUUCGUUUUUACCUAUUUUAAAUGGAAGGCAAGAAAAAGAAUCAUAUAUAUAUAUAUACUAGUUAUUAGGUUCCCGCGCCAGCGCGGGCCCAAUGUAUAUUACUUCUUCCGUCUCAUUUUAUGUGAGGUAGUUUGAUUCGCCACGGAGUUUAAAAAAGAAAUGAAGACUUUUAAAAUUUGUGGUCCAAAAUGAAUGAUAUAAAUUUGUAUGACUGUAAAUUAUUUCAUUAAGGGUAAAAUAAAUAUUUUAUAAUCAAAUUGUUACUUAAUAUAGAAAUGUGACAUUCUUUUGGGACUGACUAAAAAGGAAAGUAAAUAACAUAAAUUGGGAGUAGUUCUUUGUUUCAAUUUAUGUGACACCGAUGAAAUUUGGAGAGUUAUAUAAUUUUUUGUAUGUGAUUUUGUUAAAUAUAUUUUGAAGUUGUUAAUUUAUUGUGAUUUAUAGCACUUCUUAUAUCAUUUUCAAAUAAUAUAUAUUACUCUUUCUGUUCCAUUUUAUGUGACGUAGGUACUUUUACGAAACUCAACUAAAUUUCUUAUAUGAUUCUUAAAUAUUUGUAGUUGUUAUUUUACUUUAAUUUACGUUACUUUUUAUGUUAUUUUCAAACAAACUUCUUAUGUUUCAAUAUGGAAUUAAAGAGUCAAUAAAAUUUCUUUUAUGAUUUUUAAUUAUGUUUUUUUAAUAUCUUAUAUUAUUACAUUGUGAUUUUAAGUACUUUUUAUGUAAUUUUUAAAUCUAGAACAAAUUAAAAGAAAAACAAGGAAAAAUUUAAAUGAAGAAAGUACUAAAAUUUUCAAAUAAUCAUAUUUCUAUAUUAAAAUGUUAAAAACUUUAAAACUCCACAUAUAUGCAGAAAAUCAUAUACGGAAGACAAAAUAAUUUUUAAAAUAUAUAUUAAAGCUCUUUCUAAUAAUAUCACAUAUUUAUUCUAUUUUUCAAAUAAUAUAUAUUUCUCACUCAAUCUCAAUUACGCAGUACAUAUGAAAUUUCGAGAGUUAAUCAAAUUCUUAGUACUAUUUUAAACUAUAUUUUAGUACUAUUUAUAUAAUUUUCAAAUAAUAUAUGUUACUACUCUAUUAUAUUAUGCAAUACAUGUGAAAUUUCAAGAAUUAACCAAAAUUUUAAUAUUUUAAAUUGAUUUUUAGUACUAUUUUUGUAGUAAAUAGAGGAAGUUGAAGAAGAAGGGCAAAUCGGUCAAUUGACUGACUAACCCUAAGCUCCUAAACAUUCUCACUUCUAAAUGGAAGCACGGGCACAAUAUCCGUUAAAUUGUUAAUUAUUAUGAUUUAUAAUAUUUUUUACAUUAUUUUCAAAUAAUAUAUGUUAUGUAUUUUUAAAUACUUUAAGUUGUGAUUAAUAAUAUUCUUAACGUAAUUUCAAAUAAUAUAUGUUACUCCAUUUGUCCCAAUUUAUGUGACACAUGUGAAAUUUUGAGAGUUAAUAUGUUUUUCAAAUAUUGUAAGUUGUUAACUAUUGUGGUUUAUGGUAUUCUUAAUGUAAUUUUUCAAAUAAUAUAUGUUAUUCCCUUCGUCUUAAUUAUACAAUUCGCGUAAAAUUUUGAGAGUUAAUCGAAUUUGUAAUAUUUUAAAUUUAUUUUUUAGUACUAUUUAAAAAGGAAAAAAUUAAAAUAUUACUAUAUAAGAAGAGUAGUAAUUAUAUAGUAAUUUUUCAAAUAAUAUAUGUUAUUCCCUUCGUCUUAAUUAUAGAAUUCGCGUAAAAUUUUGAGAGUUAAUCGAAUUUGUAAUAUUUUAAAUUUAUUUUUUAGUACUAUUUAAAAAGGAAAAAAUUAAAAUAUUACUAUAUAAGAAGAGUAGUAAUUAUAUAGUAAUUUUUCAAAUAAUAUAUGUUAUUCCCUUCGUCUUAAUUAUAGAAUUCGCGUAAAAUUUUGAGAGUUAAUCGAAUUUGUAAUAUUUUAAAUUUAUUUUUUAGUACUAUUUAAAAAGGAAAAAAUUAAAAUAUUACUAUAUAAGAAGAGUAGUAAUUAUAUAGUAAUUUUUCAAAUAAUAUAUGUUAUUCCCUUCGUCUUAAUUAUAGAAUUCGCGUAAAAUUUUGAGAGUUAAUCGAAUUUGUAAUAUUUUAAAUUUAUUUUUUAGUACUAUUUAAAAAGGAAAAAAUUAAAAUAUUACUAUAUAAGAAGAGUAGUAAUUAUAUAGUAAUUUUUCAAAUAAUAUAUGUUAUUCCCUUCGUCUUAAUUAUAGAAUUCGCGUAAAAUUUUGAGAGUUAAUCGAAUUUGUAAUAUUUUAAAUUUAUUUUUUAGUACUAUUUAAAAAGGAAAAAAUUAAAAUAUUACUAUAUAAGAAGAGUAGUAAUUAUAUAGUAAUUUUUCAAAUAAUAUAUGUUAUUCCCUUCGUCUUAAUUAUACAAUUCGCGUAAAAUUUUGAGAGUUAAUCGAAUUUGUAAUAUUUUAAAUUUAUUUUUUAGUACUAUUUAAAAAGGAAAAAAUUAAAAUAUUACUAUAUAAGAAGAGUAGUAAUUAUAUAGUAAUUUUUCAAAUAAUAUAUGUUAUUCCCUUCGUCUUAAUUAUACAAUUCGCGUAAAAUUUUGAGAGUUAAUCGAAUUUGUAAUAUUUUAAAUUUAUUUUUUAGUACUAUUUAAAAAGGAAAAAAUUAAAAUAUUACUAUAUAAGAAGAGUAGUAAUUAUAUAGUAAUUUUUCAAAUAAUAUAUGUUAUUCCCUUCGUCUUAAUUAUACAAUUCGCGUAAAAUUUUGAGAGUUAAUCGAAUUUGUAAUAUUUUAAAUUUAUUUUUUAGUACUAUUUAAAAAGGAAAAAAUUAAAAUAUUACUAUAUAAGAAGAGUAGUAAUUAUAUAGUAAUUUUUCAAAUAAUAUAUGUUAUUCCCUUCGUCUUAAUUAUACAAUUCGCGUAAAAUUUUGAGAGUUAAUCGAAUUUNNNNNNNNNNNNNNNNNNNNNNNNNNNNNNNNNNNNNNNNNNNNNNNNNNNNNNNNNNNNNNNNNNNNNNNNNNNNNNNNNNNNNNNNNNNNNNNNNNNNNNNNNNNNNNNNNNNNNNNNNNNNNNNNNNNNNNNNNNNNNNNNNNNNNNNNNNNNNNNNNNNNNNNNNNNNNNNNNNNNNNNNNNNNNNNNNNNNNNNNNNNNNNNNNNNNNNNNNNNNNNNNNNNNNNNNNNNNNNNNNNNNNNNNNNNNNNNNNNNNNNNNNNNNNNNNNNNNNNNNNNNNNNNNNNNNNNNNNNNNNNNNNNNNNNNNNNNNNNNNNNNNNNNNNNNNNNNNNNNNNNNNNNNNNNNNNNNNNNNNNNNNNNNNNNNNNNNNNNNNNNNNNNNNNNNNNNNNNNNNNNNNNNNNNNNNNNNNNNNNNNNNNNNNNNNNNNNNNNNNGAAAGUGAAAAAAAAAAUGUGUCAACUGGCUACAACAACUAUUCAAAGUAUAAAGGAGAUAUUAAAUCAAAGGUCAUCACUACAUGAAUGAGUUCUGACUACAUUUUUCUUUUCCUCAUUUUUUUUUUGCCAUUCUCCUAAUUUUUUAAAUCUGUUUUAAUUAUUAAAACAUAAAAAAAAUAAUCAAAAGUCAAUACUUAAAAUAUUUCUCUUCAAUAUACGUACGUUACUUAUUUUUUUUCAAUUAAUCAUUGUUAACUAUCACUUAUUGUAUUAAAGUCUCUUUAAUUUGUUAGUACUUAUCAUUUUAAUUUAAAAGUCUAAAUUUAACUAAAUAAUUUGUCAAUUAUUUAGGGAAAGACAAUUACUAUAGAAGACAAGGAAAGAUGAAAGAGUUUAGAUUUCAAAUAGGUGAUGAAUUUUUUUUUACAAAUUUUCUUUUUGAUUAUUUAAAAAUAGAGUGCAAUCUUUGACUAGCAACAAGAACUAGGGAACAAGAAAAUAAUAAAAUAAAAUAAAUAAAUAUAGGAAGGAUUGAAGGAACUAAUGGUCCGGAAAAACAAAAAAAUGAAGUAGGAUAAGAGGGUAAGAAAACGAGAUAAGAAGAAAAUGAUAAAAAAAAAUCGAGAGAAUAACUUUUUUUCCAAACUAGAGCUUAUUAUAAUUAAGGUAUGAACAAUUGAAGGGAUAUUAGAUACUGGGAAUAGGAAAAAAUGAAAAACAAAAAAAUUAAGAAACUAUAUUAAAUAUACAUUUCAUUUCUACUUAUUUCUACCUUUACUUUUCAUUUCAUGCUUACUUUAUUUUAUUAGAAAGAAAAAAAUUAAUAUAUAUUAUUGAUUUUGUAAGGAUAUGCAUGAAAAAAAAAUGUUAUUACCUCGAUUAUAUUUAAAUGAAUUUAUUUUUAAAUUUUUAAAUAAUUUUAUGACCGCGCGAAGUGCGGAAAUGUUGACUAGUAAUUUAAUAAAGUAAAUGAAAGAGGUGACAAAGUAUUUAAUCUAUAAAAUAUUAUUGGGUCUUGCUUUUGAAAACAAAUGAACUUGAGUCAAUACAUACACUUUAGAGAAAAAAUCUUUUUUGUAAAAUUAAUUUAAACUUUGUUUAUACUCUAAACAAUCUGCAUUUUGAAGUUCAAAAAACAUAGAGGUUGCAUUCUUGCCCAAAAAAUAUGCAUUUUUACACUACAAAUCUGCACCUUUUAAACUUUUUAAAGCAAUACUUUUACACUCAAAAAACUAAUCUGCACUUCUGAAGUAGUUAUAGCUGAAAGCAAUACGGUUUCGAAGCUGACAUUUUUUGGGCAUAACAUAUCAAAAGGGACCUUCCCCAAAAAUACAGAUCAAAAUGUACGCUUCGUCCAAAAAUUGGUGGACUCUCUUCCCACCGUUAACGUCCGUUUCUUCGAAUGUAAAAUUAAUAUAUAUAUAUAUAUUCAUAUAUUCAAUGAUUUCGCCCAAAGAUGGGGAACUACAUUUUUUUUUAUUAACUUUUUAUAUAAUUUCACGUGAAUAGAAUCUUCAUUUGCUGAUUAUUAUUUUUUUCAGAUCCUUAGCUUGAACGUAAGUUUUGUCAUGUCUAGUUUGAUACAAGGAAUCCUGAGUUUCUUAAAGAUUAAUAAUACAAAAAGAUAACUAUUGGGUACUUUUUUCAUGAAAAUGUAUUUACUAGUAUUUAUUUACUUACGAUCAAUAGUAAAAAACUUAUUGAGGCCGACAAGGACAAUGAUUUCUGUUAUGAUCGAAUUUUCCUAAACAAACUAUAUCUUUGUGUCAUGCAGCCUGAAGCACUGCCCAUUUUCAUUUUUGUGAUACCUAGUACCGUUAACUCCAAAAAUUCUUAGAUAUUGAGUAUUUAUAAUUAAAUUGAAUGGAGAAGAUAUAUAGACCAAUUAUAUGAGUCGUCGUCCAGUGAAAAAAGUGCUACAUCUUUAUAAAUUUGCUUGUAAUCCUUUGAACUGUAAUACUUGCUGAUAAGGUAGGUCUUUAGCUCAAUAAACACAUAUCACAAAAUUUUAUGGCACGCGGACAUAUAAAUAGAGAUGACAAGAUCGUUGAAUUUUUUAGAAGUCAUGUAUGAAAACAUAUUGAAAUUGUAAUUGAACAGAGGAAAAAUUGAGAAGAAGAUGGAAAAGUAUAUUUACAAUGUCUAUCAAUUACAGUAUUUAUAGACUCCUGUAAUCAUCUAGGAGUCUCUAGAAACCUCUAACCGACUCAGCUCUAUCACGUUUAACUAAGUAACAAACUACAACUAACACAAUGAAAUGGUAACAAACUAACUAACUCAAUGUAAAAGUGAAACAGUAAAAACAGAAUUGUGCACUGAUGUUGCAUUGCAGUCACUAACUAACUUAUGCAACUAUAUAUUAUUUCAACACUCCCCCUCAAGCUGUGGAGCGAGAACAUUAAGAACACCAAGCUUGCUUAACAGAUGCAAGUGUUGGUCUUGACCCAAGCCCUUAGUCAAUAUAUCUGCCACCUGAUGUUGAGUAGGCACAUACAUAGGUUUCACUGUCCCAGCUUUCACUUUGUCUCUUAUAAAAUGACAAUCGAUCUCUAUGUGCUUAGUACGCUCAUGAAAUAUGGGAUUGACUGCUAGUUGAAUAGCAGACUUGCUAUCACUCAAAACUGUGAUUGGCUUAUGAAUGGGAGCAUUUAGCUUUGCAAACAACCCUUCCAGCCAAGUAAUUUCUGCUACAGCUGAUGCCAUACUCCUAUAUUCUGCCUCAGCCGAACUCCUAGAUACAGUAUGUUGUUUUUUUUAUUUCCAGGAAACCAGUGAUUCUCCAAACUUCACUACAUACCCUGUGACAGACCUUCUUGUGUUGGGGCAUGCAGCCCAAUCAGAAUCACACCAACAUAUUAACUCUGCAGCUGUUUGAGCUUUCAACCAAAUACCUUGCCCUACAGUACCCUUUAAGUAUCUGAUCACUCUGUUUGCAGCUUCCAGGUGAGAUUUCUUGGGUUGUUGCAUGAAUUGGCUCAAUGUAUGUACAACAUAACUAAUGUCAGGUCUAGUUAUGGUUGCAUAUAGCAAUUUCCCAACCAACCUCUGAUAGCCAGUAAUGUCCCUUAACAUAGCAUCUCCAAUGACUCCAUUAGCAUUGUCAUAUUCCACUGAGGUCAGCUUAGAAUUAGAUUCCAAGGGUGUACAUGAUGGCCUUGCUCCUGCAAGACCUGUUUCAGAAAUAAGCUCAAGAAUAUACUUUUUCUGAUUCAAUAUAACUCCUUGUGUUGAUCUUAGUACUUCAAUCCCUAAAAAAUAUUUAAGUUCUCCAAAAUCCUUGAGUUUAAAUUGCUGAUGCAACACAUCAUUUGCUUCUUUGAUCAUAGACUCAUUAUCUCCAGUAAUAAGGAGGUCAUCAACAUAUACCAAGACUAUAACCAUCCCUUCAUUCUUUUUCCAAGUGAAUAAAAAAUAGUCAUGAUUACUCUGAAUGAACCCUGCCUUUAAUAAUGUUGUGGUAAGUUUGAUAUUCCAUUGUCUUGAGGCUUGUUUAAGUCCAUACAAUGACUUAAGUAAUCUACAAACUUUGUGUUGUUCAUUCUGCUUGAAACCCUGUGGCAUCUCCAUAUACACUUCUUCAUCUAAAUCCCCUUGCAAAAAUGCAUUGUAUACAUCCAUCUGAUACAAAUACCAACCUUUAGAAACAGCCAAGGCAAUGACACACCUAACAGUCACCAUUUUUGCAACAGGUGAAAAAGUGUCAUGAUAGUCCAACCCUUCUUGUUGACUAUAUCCUUUUGUCACUAAUCUAGCUUUGAAUCUCUCUAAAUCUCCAUUUGUUUUAUACUUAAUCUUAUAUACCCAUUUUGAACCAAUUACAUUCUUCCCAGGAGGCAAAUCAACUAUCUCCCAAGUGUGAUUGUCUUCAAGAGCUUGUACCUCUAACUUCAUAGCCUGAAUCCAUCUUUCAUCUUUAAUAGCCUGACCAAAGUUUUGUGGUUCAACUAAUGUGGAGAACUUACUCAAAUAACAUUGAUAGUUAGGAGUUGCAUUAUCAUAGGAGAGGUAACUAGCCAGUGGAUAUCUUGUGCCCUUUCCUGUUUUAGGUCCUGCAUAAUCUCUCAUCCACACAGGCUGUUGAGAAACUCUAGAUGUUCUUCUUAGUGGAGCAAUACCAGUUGAAGAAGGUGCUUCAAUGAUUUCCCCAGCUGGUGAUGCAUUCUGUGAUGUAGGAACUGAGUUGGUAUGAGUAGAUACUUCAGGAGUUAACAAGGGGUCAGAACCAAGGUCUGCAUUAAUGUCCAACACUGUGUCUGAAGUUGAAUCAACAUUCUCUACUUCUACUUCAGGAGAUUGGCUCAUUUCAUCAUCUAAUUCUUCAUAAGGAACUAAGAAGUCUGUGGAACAAUUAUCUGAGACUUUAUCCUUGGCAAAUGGAAAGAUGUGUUCCUGAAAAAUGACAUCUCUAUUGACAAAGAACUUGUUAGUGUUGUAAUCCAACAAUAAGUAUCCCUUCUGUGUAGCAGAAUAUCCCAUCAUGAUAGCAGGUCUAGCUCUCUCUGAGAACUUAUCUCCCUUUGGAAGUACUGAGGCAUAACACAAACAACCAACCACUCUAAGAUGGGACAAACAAGGACAUCUAGAAAAUAGCAGCUCAAAUGGACUUUUACCCUUUAUAGCUGAUGAUGGUAACCUAUUCAAUAAGUAUACUGCAGCAGUAACACUCGGUCCCCAGAAUUUGAUUGGCAUAUGAGAUUGGAAUCUGAUGGCCCUAGCUAUAUUCAAUAUAUGUCUGUGCUUCCUUUCUACCACGCCAUUUUGUUGUGGUGUGUAUGGAUAACUACUUUGAUGCACUAUUCCUAAAUAUUGAAACAAUUCUCUGCAUUGGGAAUUAAAAAAUUUUGUGCCAUUGUCUGACCUUAUGACCUUUACAGACACACCAAACUGAGUUUUGAUCAGUAAGAAGAAAUUUUUGAGUGCCACAAUAGUUUCAGACUUUAAUUGCAACAAAUGAACCCAAGUGUACCUACUACAAUCAUCCACAACUGUCAAGAAGUAAUGUUUCUGAUCAAAAGUUGGAAUCCUAUAUGGUCCCCAUAGAUCUACAUGUAUAACAUCAAAACACAUAGUUGAUCUGUUCUCACUAAUUGGAAAUGGUAAUCUAGCUUGUUUAGCUAAAGGACAUACAUGACAAGUAUUCAAGGAAUCUAUGUCUUUAUUAUGCUGUAAAAGAGAUAAUGACUUCAGAACUUGAGCUAAGGGAUACCCAAGUCUCUUAUGCCAUAGUUUGCUAUCUUGCACUACUACUCCUGCAAUCUAGACUUUGUAUGUGUUUGUAGCCUUAGAUGUUUCUUCAUUCCAUGUGCACCUUUGAAAAUGUAUAAUCCCCCUUUCUCCUUACCAAUCCCCUUCACCUUGCCACUGUGAAGGUCCUGAAACACACACAAAUUAGGAUAAAAGGAGACAAAACAGGACAGUUGUUUAGUGGCCUUGGACACUUAUAACAGAUUAUACUUGAAAUCAGGAGCAAGUAAUACAUCUUGUACAACUGCAUCUUCAAAAACAAAGGCCUCUCCUAUGUGUGAUAUAUCUGCCUUAGCACCAGUGGGAAGAUGGACCUUAUCUCUUACUGCACGACUCUUUGAAAACACACUUUCGUUUGCUGUCACAUGGUGUGUAGCACCAGAAUCUACUAUCCAUUCUUGUGAUUCUACGUGAGACAAUAAGCAAGUAGACAUACCUGACAUAUUGACUUGUUUCAUCUCAUGUGGAUCUUUGUUCAAAAGCUCCAUGAUCUGUUUGUAUUCUCCAUCUGUAAAUGCUUGAGCCUUGGAUAAAACAACAUUAUUAACCUCCUUGUUCCCUUCCUGAUAAGUUUGCGAUGCAUUCUGACUGACAUCUCCACUUGAACUAUUUCCAAUAAAGUUAGUUCUGACUUGACUUCCAUACUGAGGCCCAUUGUUGUAUCCUCCAGACUGAGAACCUGCUCCUCUUGAAUUUCCAUUAUUGUAGUUCCCUUUCCUUCUUUGCUUCCAAUCUGUAGGAUAACCUAUCAGUUUAUAACAAUUCUCACUAGUGUGUCCAGUGAAAUGGCAAUAGUCACACUUCUUUCCUUUGUAGUUCUGAUUUCCAUAGCUGAUUUCUGCAUUUCUAUUCACCUGCAUUGCAAUUGGAUUAACCUUUUCACCCACACCAGUCAUACAGGCCAAAUGUUGGAUCUCAUCUUCUACUAUCAUUGCAUAUGCCUAAUUUAUAGUAGGUGUAACUCCUUUCAAUAGGAUUUGUCUUCUAGCUUGAUCAUAUGAAUCAUUCAAGCCACUCAAAAACUGAAUUAGUCUAAGCUCGUAUAGGUGAUCUGUAUAGUCCUUCGACUUUGGGCAGAUACAAGUUGGAGCUGGUACCACAGCAUCAUAUUCACUCCAUAGAUUCUUCAGCUUAGUAAAAUAAUUCGACACUGAAUCAGUUCCUUGUAUGAGUGAAUUGAUUUCUCUAUGUAGCUGAUAAAGUCUCAUGCGAUUCACCUUAUCAAAUCUCUCCUUCAGGUCCUUCCAUACGUCAUAUGCACUUGUUGCAUAUACAAUUCCACUCAACAAUUCCUCAUUAACAGAGCUCAUCAGCCAUGACAAGACAAUUGCAUUACAAGUUUCCCAUUGCUCAUGCAAUUCAUCCCUGGUGAAAUUCAUCCCUGUACAAUUCUCUACUACAGGCUCUAGUCACAAAUCCAAAUUUCCUUUUCCCUAACAACGCGAUUCUCAUUGAUCGACUCCAAACUCCAUAGUUUUCUGAUCCAAUUAGCUUGACAGGAAUCAAUGCAGCACCAGAUGCAUCAUUUUGAAAGACAUAUUACAAAACAUUACUUUUAAGUUUUUACAAAAUAUUAAAGCAUAAUAUUGAAUUCUCUCCUUAUUUAAGAAAAAACAUAAGUAUGUAUUAAUGUCGCACGAAAAUUUCUGCUAGAAAAAUUUAUCUCUUCGGGUUCCCCAUAAUCAACAUUUAUUAUAUUUAUUAAUGUUAUUAGUCCCUCCGUUUCACAAAGAAUGACCUCAUUUCCUUUUUAGUCAGUUUCAAAAAAAUGACCUCUUUCCUUUUUUGGUAACAUUUUACUUUUUGCUUUCCACGUGGCAUGUUUAAGACCACAAGAUUAAGGGCAAUUUUGUACAUUUGACAUAACUUUAAUUUAGGACCACAAGAUUCAAAAGUCUUCUUUAAUUUCUUAAACUUCGUGCCAAGUCAAACCAAACCAAUCUUUUUGAAACGGAGGGAGUAGUAUUCAUUAGUUUUGCACGUAUUUUUUUUCUCCAGAAAAUUCAUUUCAAUAAUCCCCUUUCCUUCCCAAUAAUUAAUAGUAAUUAUUAAUAGGUUUUAAAUGUUGCACCUCUUCAAAUUCUAGCACUCAAUAAAAUGAUAGAAGUUUAGAAACAAAGCUCCAUCAACUUCUCCACUAUGCUAGGUGAAAAACUCAUAAUGCUACAUUUCGUCAGGUAAUAUAAAUUACUAUUAUUUUUAUUGGAUGAAUAAUAGAUAAUUGUAUUGACAAAUUCUUUUAUGUGAAUCAAAGUAAUGUGAUUUACUUAUUCGUGGUUAUAGUAAAAAAUAAAUCACACUAUCAGAAAAGUGUGAAUUACAUGUGAAUUUUCCUGGAGAUUAGUAUGAAAAUCUGUAGGAAACUUAUUUUCCUGCAAAUUUUCAUACUAAUUCCCAGGAAAAUCCUCAUGUAAUUCGCACUUUUCUUGUAGUACCAGUGAAGUGCCAUGAAAACUUGACAAGACAAUUACUUUAAAGUAAGUUUCUCCUUAGUUCAUACUAUAUUUGUAUAUUAUAUCAUUUUCUUAUAAUAACUAUAUAUCUUUUUUUUAAUUUGCUUAGUAUCAUUUUUGUUGUACACGAGUUUGUUUCAUUAAUUGUAGAAAGUGAAAAAAAAAAUGUGUCAACUGGCUACAACAACUAUUCAAAGUAUAAAGGAGAUAUUAAAUCAAAGGUCAUCACUACAUGAAUUAGUUCUGACUACAUUUUUCUUUUCCUCAUUUUUUUUUUGCCAUUCUCCUAAUUUUUUAAAUCUGUUUGAGUUCUGACUACAUUUUUCUUUUCCUCAUUUUUUUUUGCCAUUCUCCUAAUUUUUUAAAUCUGUUUUAAUUAUUAAAACAUAAAAAAAAUAAUCAAAAGUCAAUACUUAAAAUAUUUCUCUUCAAUAUACGUACGUUACUUAUUUUUUUUCAAUUAAUCAUUGUUAACUAUCACUUAUUGUAUUAAAGUCUCUUUAAUUUGUUAGUACUUAUCAUUUUAAUUUAAAAGUCUAAAUUUAACUAAAUAAUUUGUCAAUUAUUUAGGGAAAGACAAUUACUAUAGAAGACAAGGAAAGAUGAAAGAGUUUAGAUUUCAAAUAGGUGAUGAAUUUUUUUUUACAAAUUUUCUUUUUGAUUAUUUAAAAAUAGAGUGCAAUCUUUGACUAGCAACAAGAACUAGGGAACAAGAAAAUAAUAAAAUAAAAUAAAUAAAAAUAGGAAGGAUUGAAGGAACUAAUGAUCCGGAAAAACAAAAAAAUGAAGUAGGAUAAGAGGGUAAGAAAACGAGAUAAGAAGAAAAUGAUAAAAAAAAAUCGAGAGAAUAACUUUUUUUCCAAACUAGAGCUUAUUAUAAUUAAGGUAUGAACAAUUGAAGGGAUAUUAGAUACUGGGAAUAGGAAAAAAUGAAAAACAAAAAAAUUAAGAAACUAUAUUAAAUAUACAUUUCAUUUCUACUUAUUUCUACCUUUACUUUUCAUUUCAUGCUUACUUUAUUUUAUUAGAAAGAAAAAAAUUAAUAUAUAUUAUUGAUUUUGUAAGGAUAUGCAUGAAAAAAAAUGUUAUUACCUCGAUUAUAUUUAAAUGAAUUUAUUUUUAAAUUUUUAAAUAAUUUUAUGACCGCGCGAAGUGCGGAAAUGUUGACUAGUAAUUUAAUAAAGUAAAUGAAAGAGGUGACAAAGUAUUUAAUCUAUAAAAUAUUAUUGGGUCUUGCUUUUGAAAACAAAUGAACUUGAGUCAAUACAUACACUUUAGAGAAAAAAUCUUUUUUGUAAAAUUAAUUUAAACUUUGUUUAUACUCUAAACAAUCUGCAUUUUGAAGUUCAAAAAACAUAGAGGUUGCAUUCUUGCCCAAAAAAUAUGCAUUUUUACACUACAAAUCUGCACCUUUUAAACUUUUUAAAGCAAUACUUUUACACUCAAAAAACUAAUCUGCACUUCUGAAGUAGUUAUAGCUGAAAGCAAUACGGUUUCGAAGCUGACAUUUUUUGGGCAUAACAUAUCAAAAGGGACCUUCCCCAAAAAUACAGAUCAAAAUGUACGCUUCGUCCAAAAAUUGGUGGACUCUCUUCCCACCGUUAACGUCCGUUUCUUCGAAUGUAAAAUUAAUAUAUAUAUAUAUAUUCAUAUAUUCAAUGAUUUCGCCCAAAGAUGGGGAACUACAUUUUUUUUAUUAACUUUUUAUAUAAUUUCACGUGAAUAGAAUCUUCAUUUGCUGAUUAUUAUUUUUUCAGAUCCUUAGCUUGAACGUAAGUUUUGUCAUGUCUAGUUUGAUACAAGGAAUCCUGAGUUUCUUAAAGAUUAAUAGUACAAAAAGAUAACUAUUGGGUACUUUUUUCAUGAAAAUGUAUUUAUUUACUUACGAUCAAUAGUAAAAAAACUAUUGAGGCCGACAAGGACAAUGAUUUCUUUUAUGAUCGAAUUUUCCUAAACAAACUAUAUCUUUGUGUCAUGCAGCCUGGAGCACUGCUUAUUUUCAUUUUUGUGAUACCUAGUACCGUUAACUCCAAAAAUUCUUAGAUAUUGAGUAUUUGUAAUUAAAUUGAAUGGAGAAGGUAUAUAGACCAAUUAUAUGUCAUCGCCCAGUGAAAAAAGUGCUAUAUCUUUAUAAAUUUGCUUGUAAUCCUUUGAACUAUAAUACUUGCUGAUAACGUAGGUCUUUAGCUCAAUAAACACAUAUCACAAAAUUUUAUGGCACGUGGACAUAUAAAUAGAGAUGACAAGAUCGUUGAAUUUUUUAGAAGUCAUGUCAUCUUUUGUCUAAUAUCAUAAGGUUUAAAGACGAUCCGUUAUUGUCUAUGGGUAUAAUUGGAGAACAUUUAAGAACAGCUUCAACUGCAUUUUGACAAACCUCCCACAUAUUGGAUUAACACAAGCCUCGUAGAGCAAUGACCUAAAUAUUCCUGCAACCAUAACAUUGCAAAGAACAAAAUCAGUAAACACAUUUAAGGAGUCGUUUGGUGUGAGCUAGGUAGUAUAAAAAUCUCAGUAAUAAAAUGGAUCCUGCAUUUAGUUGGAGAUAUUAGGCAAUCCUGAGAUUAUUUAUCCCACUACUUGUAUCUUAGUGACGGAAUAAGUUAUCACUCAUACAUGGUGAAAUAAUUUAUUACAGAAUAACUUAUCACGAGAUAAUUAAUCCCAAAAUAAUUUAGCAUGUUGUAUGCAUGAAAAGACUUGAAUACAAAAUUGGGUUGGAGAUUUUUACUUCCAUUAAAACUUUUACUCAGUCGUGUUAUACUUACUCAAAACUUUUAGUAAAAUUAAAAAAAUUAUUUUUUUUAUAAAUAAAAAAUAUAGCUAAUAGCAAGUCACCAACUUUUAAUUCUUUAAAUCAUCCCAUUCAUAUAGCUUCUUUUUAUUUCUAGAUUUUUAGUAGAAUAUUUAAAUCAUCAUAUUAAUAUUAUCUAUGAGUUAUAUUGACUAUUUUUUUUAAUAUUUAAUUAAUUAAAAACACAAACUUUAACUAAAAUGGGGAGUAAAUUAAUUAUUUAUGGUUAUUACGUGAAACUAGCUUUAGUACUUUACUAGAGGCGCAGUGGUUUUUGUCUAAAUUAGAAUGCAGCAGUAUGUUUCCAUCUGGUUUUCCAUAUUCCUGGAAUAGGGGACCUGUACCCACCAUCAAGUCCGGAUUUUUCCAUGUAAAAUUAAGGGUAUGCAUCGGGUGUAUAUAAUAGCAAAUUAUUAAUUCAAAUUAAAUGCUAUAAAUAGAUUUUGAUUUAAUUGUAUCCUAUAGCAAACUAUUGCUAUUUUCGCCACUCUCCCUGGUGGAAUCUCGCUCGCCACUCUCGUUUGGUGGCAGUUUCGCUCGCCUCUCUCGCUUUUAUACACAAACACAAAUGUAUAAAAUGUGUUUGUGUUUGUAUAAAGCGAGAUGACAUUAUAUAUAUACAUAUUUUUUCGUUCCCCUUUCUCCCCUCUCCCAGAUCUCGCUCGCCACCCUCGCCUCUCUCACUUAUACAAACAGAAACGAAAUGUAUAAAUUGCGAUUCUGUUUGUAUAAAGCGGGAGAAAAUUGUAUAUACACAUGCAAAUACGUAUAUCUUCAUCCUAUACACUUAGAAUUAUACAAUACAAAUAUUUUCAUACCCAGUUUUCUUUUGCCUUUCUCUCUUUCUCGUUUUAUACAUACACAGAUUAUACAAUUGAUCUUUUGUUAUACAACUGCUUUCUUUUUGUAUAUGUAUAGCGAAUUAUACAACUGUCUUCUUUGUAUAUGUAUAGUGAAUUAUACAACUGUUUUUUGUAUAUGUAUAGCGAAUUAUACAUAUAUAUGUUUGCUAUGGAGCUCAAUUAUGCAAACUUUGCUAUAGCAUACAAAUAUGAAUUUUGCGUUUGCUAUAUGUGAAAGUUGCUCUUAUUUUUAUUAGUUCGAUUUAUUAAUUAACUUUUAAUUAUGCUAAAUCAAUAAUUAAAUUAAUAGGAUAUCUCUUAUUGAUUUUCGAUUUAUUAGUUAUGGAUGCUUAAUGAUUUGAUUUCUAAUUUAACCAAUAAAAAAAGAUACUCAUAAAAUAAAUAUAUAAAUUCUCUAAUAAUUUAAUAUGACAUGACAAUAUAAUAUAACUUUACGCAAUACUUAUAAAAUAGAGUUGUGGCUGUCAAUGCUAACAUAAACAUGAUUCUAAUGAAGUCCAACCCUUAAAAGUAGCAUAUAGGGGAGGAAUAUGAAAAGCAAAUAGUAUACAAGUGAAGUAUCAGAGAGAGGUAGAAUCACCACAUAUCAUGGAGGAGGUAGGCCCCAAAAGUUUGAGAUGGCUCCUGGUUUUCGGGAACAAAACUGGUUUGUUUUCACGACUGUGGGCGGGCUCAAUCUGUGGAUUACUGGCGUCGUUACUCACUCCCAUAAGCUAGGAGUAAUUCUUACGAGUCAUUUGGUAGAGUGUAUUAGUAAAAAUAAUGUAUGCAUUAAUUUUGUAUAUUAGUAGUUCCUUGUUUGGUCCUCCAUGUUGAGUUAAUUCUACUGUUGAGUUAAUUAUUCUAACUUUAUUAAUUAAUGUCAUGCAAAGAGACAAAUGCAAAAUACGUUUCAAAGGUGAAGAUACAUCCGUUCCAAACAAAAGUGAUGUAAUGGCCUUUAAUGCCAUUAGCCUUGACAAUAUGUUUCUAAAAUUAAACUCUCUUACUUGCAACUCCUUUUCUUGCAAAUCAUAUAUAAGAAGAGGCUUUGGUGAACAUAACACAACAUUACCAACAUAAACAAAAAGAAGAGAAAAACUUCUUCUUCCUUUCUCCUUAUUCUUAGAAUAUUGUUGGGCAAUUGGUUUUGAGCAACCUCCAAACUCUCAACCACGAGUGCAUGUGUCUGAGAGUAACUGUGGAACCUUGGGGAGCGAUCGGCUACAACGAUUUGCACCGGAGUUGAGCCGAAAUCACUUUCAAGGCAGUGGCUUGCCACAACACAGUGUUUGUGAUAAGUUAUUUACUACUUUAUAAUUCCAAUCAAAUAUCAAUAUUAUAGUAUUUUUCCCAACAAUUUGAAAGCGAUUUACUAACAUACAAUAUUGAUAAAUGGCUAUUUCUUUGAACAAAUUUUUUUUUGAUUUGUCAAAAUUUGAGCCUUUGGAUGGAAGUAAUUUUAAACGAUGAUCACAAAUUUUUUUAAUUUUCUUUGAACAAUUAGAAGUUGAUUAUGUUUUAUUUAAAGAACCUUCUAUGAAUGGUUCUAACACCACUAUUGAUUCUAGCAAUGUUAUGGUUGUUGAUGAUGUUGUUAAAAAGAAGUUUGAAAAGGAUAACAAAAUUGUGAGAGGACAUUUGUUAAAUCAUAUGAAAAAUUCUUUAUUUGAUUUAUUUUUAACCUAUAAAUCUACCAAAGAAAUAUGGGAUAGUUUGAAAAAGAAAUAUGGUACUGAUGAUGCAGGAAAGAAAAAAUAUAUUGUCGGUCAGUGGAUUAAAUUCCAAAUGGUUGAUAAUAAGUCAAUAAUGAAACAAGUUCACUAAUAUGAGAACUUGACUGCUGAUGUUUUCAACGAGGACAUGAAGAUGUGUGAGAUAUUUCUGCUUGAAAAAUUCCCACCAUCUUGGAGUGAUUAUAGAAAUCAAUUAAAACAUAAGAAAAAGAAUUUAACUCUCCAAGAACUUAUUCGUCACAUGAGGACUGAAGAGGCGAACCGUCUCAAAGAUAAGAUGGAAGAAUUUUUCUCUUAAUUCUUCUAAAGCUAAUCUUGUUGAAUCUUCUGGUACUAUUGUGAAAGACAGGUUUAAAGGCAGACAGAAGAAAGUCUCGAAAAAGGAACAUAUGAAGAAGAAAAAUCAAUUCAACAAGCCGGAGAGCCAAAUUCAAAAAUUUAAGAGUCCUUGUUUUGCUUGUGGAAAAGUUAGUCACAGGGUUGCCAAGUGCUAUCAAAGAAAGAGGCAGGACUCAAAGUAGGAAGGACAAAAUGAUGUCCAACCUCGUCUUGCUGAGGGUAAUGAAGUGAUUGUUGUUGUAGUCGUUGAGGCAAAUCUGGUGGCUAACAAAACUGACUGCUUGCUGAGGGUAAUGAAGUGAUUGUUGUUGUAGUCGUUGACGCAAAUCUAGUGGCUAACAAAAUUGACUGGGUGCUAGACACAAGCGCUUCAAGGCAUUUUUGGCCAAUAAGAAUUUAUUUUAUGACUUUGAGGAGUCCAUUGAUGGCGAGUGUGUAUAUAUGGGUAACUCUACUACUGAUGUAGUAAUGGGUAAUGAAAAAGAUUUACUUAAAUUAACUUCCCUUGAACAAUGUUUUGUAUGUUCCCUCCCUCCGUAGAAACUUAGUUUCCGGAGCACCUCUCAACAAAGUAGGCCUUAAACUUGUUUUGAAGCUGAUAAAAUGAUUAUUUCUCGUGGAGGAGACUCCGUUGGGAAGGGAUAUCUUAGUGGGGGAUUAUUUGUAUUGAACAUUGUUCAAGAGAUUGUCAAUAACGCAAGUAUUUCAAAUUCUGCUUAUAUUAUCGAGUUUAUUAAUUUAUGGCAUGGUAGACUAGGUCAUGUUAAUAUUGCAUCUAUUAAAAGACUUAGAAAAAUGGAAUUAAUUCCUAUGAUAAAAACUGAUGAGUUUUCUAAAUGUCUUGUGUGUAGAAGCAAAGCAUGCCAAGAAACCUUUCAAAUUUGUUAUUAGUAGAAAGACCGAAUUACUUGAACUAAUACAUUCAGAUUUAGCAAAUUUCAAGAACAUUGCUAGCAAAGGUGGAAAAAAGUAUUACGUUACUUUUGUCGAUGACUUUUCUAGAUACACUAAGGUAUAUCUUCUUAAUUCUAAAGAUGAGGCUGAAAGCAUGUUUUUGAAAUUCAAAGCAGAAGUGGAAAAUCAAUUAGACAGGAAAAUCAAGAGAUUUAGAUCGGAUAGGGGCAGUGAAUAUUGUACUAAAACUCUAAAGGAUUUUUGUGAGAAAAUGGUAUUAUACAUGAGGUUAGUGCUCCCUAUACUCCCCAACAAAAUGGUGUAGCCGAACGAAAAAAUAGAACCCUUAAAGAAAUGAUGAAUUUUAUGCUUCUAAGCUCUGGUCUAUCUGAAAAUAUGUGGGGAGAAACAGUCUUGCUUGCGUGCUAUAUUCUUAAUAGAGUCCCUCAUAAGAAGUUAGACAAGACCUCAUAUGAGUUGUGGAAAGGAUUUGCCCCUAACUUGAAAUUUUUGAAAGUGUGGGGGUGUUUGACUAAGGUUGGUCUACCUGAUUUUAAACGAGUAAAUGUUGGUUCUAAGACUUUUGAUAUUGUCUUUAUUGGUUAUGCUCAAAAUAGUGCUGCAUAUAGAUUUAUGUCUCUCAAUGAUCACACUAUUUGUGAAUCUAGCGAUGCAAAAAAUUUUGAGCAUAUUUUUUCUUUGAAAAAUAAUAUGUUGAGUGAUGUGCAAAAUAAUGCUUCUACAUCUAUGUCUGUUAAUUCUCAUGUUGUGCCUUCUUCUAAUGUUAUUUCUAAUGAGCAUGAAAAUGAACUUAGAAGGAGUAAAAGACGUAGAAUUGAGACAAGUUUUGAACCUGAUUUUAUCACUUCUUUCUUAACUGAAAAUUUGGAUAUUAAUAUUUUAAAUGAUGAAUCAGUGUCUAUCUAUUUAAUAGAAGAAGACCCUAAGACUUAUGAUGAAGCUAUGAGAUCAAUAGAUGUUAUAUUUUGGAAAGAGGUAUUAAAAGUGAAUUAGACUCUAUAGUUUCUAAUCACACUUGGAACUUGUAUGAUUUACCUAAAGGUUGUAAACUCAUAAGUAGCAAGUGGAUAUUUAAGAAGAAAUUGAGACAUGAUGGUACAAUUAAUAAAUAUAAGGCUAGAUUUGUUAUUAGGGGUUUUAACCAAAAGAAAGGAGCUCAAUUCAAUCAAAUCAUGAAAUUAGGCUGGGCUGGCCCAAUAGUCCAAGCCCAUGCCUGUGGCUAUAUUUCAAUGGAAAAUUUUUCAAAAUGUCAAAAUUUUGAUAUUUAAUAGGAUCUCUUAGCCAUACUCUUCUUUUAAUAUUUAUUUAAAAUGUCAAUAUUUUAGUUUGUUAUAUAUCUUAUGUAUGUAUUUUCUUAUUUGUAUGAUUUGCAAGAAACACAAUUAUUUAAUAACAGAAAGGAGAAAAUCAGGGGAGAUAAUAUUUAAAAAAAGGAACAUAUCACUUAAAAUUCUCACCAGUUACAAUUUCAAAGAAAUCAACUUUUUUUUUAUUAUGUUUUCAUUGUAAUUGUAUACCAAUAUUUUUUACAUUUAAUGUGUUGACUUUACCUUUCAAAUUAAAUUUGAUAUUUUACUUUCAUAGUGAAAACUACAAAUCGUAUCCCAGUGAUCAAAAUUGUAUUACAUGAUUGCCAAAUAUAUUUUUCUUUUAUUUGUAUUAUAAAAAUAUCACUGAUUGUAUCCCAAUAUAAUUAAUCAUUACAUAUGAAUAUGAUUUAUGAAAGGAUACAAGAUUCUGAAAAAAAAAAUUAGCAUACAUGGUGGAAAUAAUACAAUCUAUUGAGGAAUGAUACAAUAUUCUAAAAAAAAUUAGAAGUUGGCUAUGAAAGAAACAGAGAUACAAGAUUCUGGAAAAAAAUUUAGCAUACAUAGUGGAAAUAAUACAAUCUGUUGAGGAAUGAUACAAUAUUCUAAAAAAAAAUACAAACUGGCUGUGAAAAAAAUAGAAUACAUAUAUGCUUAAGAAAUAUGAAUCAAUUUGACAUACGUACUUGAAUGACCACAAACUUAAAAGAAAUACAAUGUUCUUAAUAAAAUUACAAAUGCUGAGAAAAACAAAAAUAAUUAACAAACAAAAAUUAAUAUGAAUACAAUCCUGGUAUGAAUACAAUUCAACUUUCUUCUCUCAAUCUCUCUUUCUUCUUCUUCUUCGUCUGCUAUGUUGUUUUUUUUCUGAUUUUUUUUUUUUAUCAAACUCAAAUCCAAAUCCGUAUUCACUUGUGCAUAUAUUAGUAACCCUAUAAACAAAAUUUGAAAUUAUUAAUUAUGAAUGUAUAAAAAAUCAAACAAUAUAUGAUGUAUGAAUGCUAAUGUAUGUAGAUUACUAUAAUCUAUUAAAUCUCAAAUAUGAAAACAAAAUCACAAAAAUAAUAAUUGAACAAUAGAGUUUAAAAGACGAAAAAUUCGAAAUACAUAGAAGAGGGAAAUCUCAUAAAAUACUUGGUGAAUAUGAGAACCUCACAAAAAAAUCAAACAAUAUUAUUCAAAGACGAAAAAUCCGAAAUACAAAAUACUUGAUAAUUGUGAAAACAAAAUCACAAGACAUCUCACAAAAUACUUGUUGACUUCGAAUUUACCUUUAUCCAUGGUUGAAAAAUCUUUUGAAUUAAUUGUGAGAUUUCUUGAACAAAGUGUAGGAAAUUGGAAGAGUUGAUUUUCUUGAAUAAGGAAAGGCGAUAACAAUGGUGAAAAGGAAAGAGAGAGAAAUGAGCAAUUUGGGGUAAAACCUAGAAAGAGAGGUAAGUGGGUAAUGGGGGUAUAAUUAUUUUUAUUUUACGGAUGAGGGAGUAAAAAAGGGUCUAACUUGAGCAUGAUUUGAGAAAUAAAAGGAAAAGAAAUUAAUUAUAUUAGGAUACAAUUAAUCUUCUAAAAUAUUGACAUAUUGACAUUUUUAAUAAUUAUUUUUAAGUGUAGAUAUUUUUUAUAAUUAUAUUAGGGAUUAUGACUAGUUUGCUAAUUUUUCCUAUUUUGAUUAUUCUUUAGAUAUGACUUCUAUAAAUAGCUAUUUGUGAACUUCACCUCAUCAUAUAUGGCAAAUUAGGCACUUUCAGGACAACAAGGGUUACAACUUUCAAUUGACAAUUGGCACAAACAGCCGCAGACGUAUAAAAGUUAUAUUUUAUAAAUUUAUAAGAGAGAAAAAGUUGAUUUAUAUUUUCAAAUAAUUAUCCUACAUUAGCAAAAAUUGCUUUCAAAGCAAUGACUUGCCACCACACAAUGUUUUAUUUUAUAAGUUAUUUUUGUUCUCAUUUUGUUAUUAAUUAUCAAACUAGUUUUGAAUAUGUAGCAAGAGUUAAUGGGAAAUGGAGGGAAGAUGAAAAGAGAGGAACUUGAAAAGUUGGGAACUUGAAGAAUUGGAAACUUGAAAAGUCCUUUUAUGCUUUAGUGAAAAGGCAUUUCUCCCUCAUCGGUGGUGGAAAGAAAAAUAAAAGAGUUUAAAUAUAGAAACACUCCUAUUAAUUGUUAAAAGGGUUGGAAAGAGGGACCCCUUCGCACCGUCGUCGUCGUCGCUCGCUCGCUCGGCUUCGGCGACAAAGUUUGUUUAAAUUAUUUAUUUAAUUAAUUAAAUUAAAUUAAAUGGCCAAAACGUCAAAAUGUUUCAAUUAAUUAGUUAAUUAACCAAAAUGUUUCGGCUAUUCAGUUAAUUGACCGACCUGACUCGGAUCCGCGCGCGACCCAUUUUAUUUAAAUUCUUUUCCGUUUUAUUUAAAUUUCCCGCCGUUGGAAGUGACUGUUCUAAAAGGUUGCAACUUUCAUGAACAGUCAUGACCGUUUGAAAGGUUGCAAACUUUCGUGAAUGGUCGUGUGGAUUCUGAAAGGGUUGAUUCUUCAGAUUUAUUAAUUACGAUUUUUUCUGAUUUCUUCUUCUUCUUCUGCACAAAGUUUCUUCAUAUACUUUACUGUUAUUGAGUGGUUCGAUGAUACCAGAGUUUUGGGUAUCAAUACACUGGUGAUUGAGAUCAUUCUAUCCUGGGAGGACAUAUUCCAAAUCAAACCUCAAAUACUAGAGGGGAAUAAUUUCUUUAAGGGGGCACUGUGCAGUCAGUGGGCUUGAUCUUUUCCGUUCUGUCUUUUUCCAGAUUCUAGUAUGUUUUUCAGAUUUUAGUUGUUCUAAAUUAAUUUCUGUUCUUCUAUUUUUACUAGUUCAUUAAAACUUUGAUUACUUCGUGUUUCUGCAAAGUUUAUUGGAAUCAGAAAUUCUGUUUUAAACACAGAUUGACAACAAUUAUAACAAAUUGUUCGAUUUCAGCAGUCCCAUAAUGGAUCAAAAAGAUUUAUAUUGAAUGUCCUGCUCCUGCCUGAACUUUCCCAUCAACCAAACCAUACUCCAUUAAUGCAUUCUUUUAGUUUUGUAUAGGUCUUCGAUCAAUAUUGAUCUCGGAGGUUUUGGUACUUCAACUCGUCCAAUGUACUUUAUUUUUCUUUAAAUAAACACAAUGGGGGUCGAUGCCGAAUCUGUUAUGAAUAUGAGAAUCAAAAGUUACGCAUUGUUAUCAAUGUAACAGUAAAGCUAGUUACAAAAUGUUAGUUACAAAAGUUUGUUAUAAUGUUAGUUAAAGGUAACUCUAGUUAAUUUAGACUAACUAGCUUGUACAGUUAAGAUACACUAUAAAUAGAGUAGUGUAGGCAUUAUUUGUAUUGUAUCAGAUUAUCAUUCAAUACAGUGAAAAGUUCUUCUUCUUUGAUUGAAUCAUCUGCUCUAUAAUUCUUCAUGGUAUCAGAGCCAUGGAUGCUCUCCUGAUGUAUUCCGCAAAUUAGGUUGUUAAACUCUUCUGCUUGCAGUGCACACGAAAGGCUCUCCAACAGAGUCUGCAUUAUCUUAGAAGCAGUCCUGUUUUUACUUCGUUUGUUGCUCCUGAUUCAGUGAAGAUCUUCAUCAAUGACGAUAGGUGAAGGCUCCAAUCCUGACACUCUUACUCCUUCAGCUGGUGGUAGAGAAGCCAUAGUUGAUUCACAUCAUCCUUUGUUUCUUCAAGCGUGUGACACUCCAGGUAGUUCACUGGUCUCUACUCAAUUAAUUGGAUCUGAAAACUAUUCUUUGUGGAGCAGGUCUAUGAAGAUAGGUCUGCUAGGCAAAUGUAAAAUAGGAUUUGUGGAUGGAUCUAGUUCUAAAGAGAAGUUUCAAGCUUCCUUCCAUAAUAUGUGGGAGAAAUGUAAUGCAAUUGUCCUUUCAUGGAUCAUGAUUUCUGUUAGUCGAGAACUUCUCAGUGGGAUAGUUUAUGCUAAUAGUGCUCAACAAGUUUGGAAUGACCUGAAGGAAAGGUUUGAUAAGGUUGAUGGAUCACGUAUAUUCUAUCUACAUAAGGAGAUUGCUACACUCACUCAAGGAAUAUUGUUUGUUUCCAUCUAUUUCUCCAGGUUUAAAGAGCUUUGGAUGGAGUUUGAUUCUCUCAUGCCCUGUCCUGGGUGUGACUGUUUAGUUUCAAAGACUUAUGCAAUUCAUUUUGAGUAUCAAAGGCUUAUGCAGUUUCUCAUAGGUCUCAAUGAGUCUUACAACCAAUGUAGAAGCCAAAUUAUGAUGAUGGAUCAUGUUCCCAGUGUGAACAAAGCCUAUUCACUAGUGAUUGUAGAAGAGAGUCAGAGGAUCCUUGGUAAGGCAAAUACUGUUGUUGAGAUGCCUUCUAACCAUGGAUACAAGAGGCUCUAGCCUUCUUUAGUGGCAGUAAUCAUACCUACUCAGGCUCCAGAGGAUCGGGAUCUGGUGGUCCUGGUACUACUGGAUCUACUUCCAGACCUAAGAAGCCAUUUAACAGUUAUUGUUUUGUGAUUACUGUAAUUGGAAAGGUCACACAAGGGAUCACUGCUACAAACUUCAUGGUUAUCCAUCUGACUGGAAAGGUAAGAAGAAAAUCAGUCCUGGUUCAACUAGCACAACUAGUUUUGCUGCUGCUAGUUCUGGUCCUAGUAGCCUCUCAAGCAGAUCUCCAUCAGGUGUUAGCAAUACUGGUGUCUCUCAUGCAUUUAUGACUAACCUGCAGCAUCAACAGUUUCAACCUCAUGCAACUUCACAGCCACAACAUCCUCAUUUCUCCCACCAGCAGUACAUGCGGAUCCUGCAAUUGCUAGAUCAGGGAAAUGGGAAGACUACCGCUGAUGCUCUUGUGUCUACCUCAGGUACAUCAGGUUUGUUUCCUACUUCCAAGUGGAUAUUUGAUUCAGGAGCUUCCAAACAUAUGGUUCAUAGUCUGCGUAUGCUCAAUCACUAUACUACCUUGUCUGAGUCUCACGAAGGAAAAAUGUAUCUUCCUACUGGCAAUCUUGCACCAGUUAGUCAUAUUGGCUCAUCUCAGAUCUUAGGAGGGGCUGAGAUCACUAAUAUGCUUCAUGUUCCUACUUUUCAAUACAACUUAUUAUCUGUUCCUAGACUAACAAAGGAGUUGAAAUGCAGUGUUAUGUUCUAUCCUAAUUUCUGCAUUUUCCAGGACCUCUCCAAUGGAAAAGUGAGGGGGAUUGGCAAGUUGGAGAAUGACAUGUAUGUGAUUACUGCUGACUGUCAUUUGCAUUCUCAAGGAGCAGAAUUGAGUUCACCUAAAGAUCAAGCUAUUGCAGUUUCUAAGUCUUGUCUUGUACCUUCUUUACAUUCAUCUAGAAUAAGUCUAUCAUUGUGGCAUAAAUGCCUAGGUCAUGUACCUUUUAAUACUCUUAGACAAUUUAGUUCUUUGCAACAGUUGCAUCCUACUACUGAUGCACCUUAUACUGUAUGCCCUUUAGCUAAACAAUCAAGACUAUCUUUUCCUUUAAGUGCUACUUCUACUACUGCUUGCUUUCAACUUUUACACGCUGAUGUAUGGGGUCCCUAUAGAGUUCCAACUCAUGAUAAUAACAGGUAUUUUUUAACCUUAGUAGAUGACUACUCAAGGUAUACCUGGAUAGUUUUGCUUCCCUCCAAAUCUGAGGUCAUAGUUGCACUCAAAAAUUUUCUUAUUAUGGUUGCAAAUGUUUUCUCUUCCUUAGUCAAAAUAUUAACGACAGAUAAUGGCUGUGAGUUUUUUAAUUCCCAAAUGACUGUUCUCCUGGAGUCUCUAGGUAUUUUACACCAAAGUUCAUGCAUAUAUACCCCUCAACAAAAUGGAGUUGUUGAAAGGAAACAUAGACAUAUACUUAAUGUUGCUAGAGCCUUGAGGUUUCAAUCUAGCAUGCCUCUUAAAUUUUGGGGUGAGUGUGCUCUUACUAGUGUCUAUUUGAUCAACAGAUUGCCUUCAUCUAUUUUACACAACAAGACAUCUUAUGAGUUGCUUUAUCUUAGAUCUCUUUCUCUUGAUCAUCUUCGAGUCUUUGCGUGUCUUGCUUUUGCUUCUGAAGUCAGAAAGGUUGACAAGUUUACUCCCAGAGCUUUCCCUACUGUGUUCUUGGGGUAUUCUACAUUACAAAAAGGGUACAAAUUGUUUUCUCUUCAUACUUAAGAGUUCUUAGUGUCCAGAGAUGUAGUUUUCAAAGAGGACAUAUUUCUCUUUACUCAAACCACUUCCUCAUGUCCUCCUUUGUUUCCUAUCUUUCAGUUUACAGAGUCCUUUACUAAGUCCACUCCAGUUCCUCCCAUUGCUACUCUUUAUUCUUCUCUUUGUCCAGCUUCUAUAGUAUCUGAAUGUCCCUUUUCUCCUGCCUAUGCAUCUGAUAUGUCUGCAACUGUUCCCUUAAGAAGAUCCUCUAGAAAUUCCAAACCUCCAAUUUGGCUUCAUGACUAUGUUACUACUCAGCCUAAGUCCACUUGUCUUUAUCCUUUAUCCAAUCAUGUCAGCUAUCGCCAUUUGUAUCCACUUUAUGGCUUAGCCUUAGCUGCAUAUUCCAGCAUCCUUAAGCCUAAGUCUUCCAUAAGGCUGCUCUUAAUCCUUUGUGGGUCGUAGCUAUGCAAGCUAAGAUCAAAGCCUUGGAAGAGAAUCAUACCUGGUCUAUCACUGAUCUUCCUUCUGAUAAACAUCCAAUUGGCUGUAAAUGGGUGUUUAAGGUGAAAUAUCUUGCAUCUGGUGCUGUUGAAAGAUACUAGGCUAGACUUGUUGCAAAGGGGUUCAAUCAGAAAGAAGGCUUGGAUUAUUCUGAAACUUUCUCCCAUGUUGCUAAGAUGGUUACUGUGCGGUCUGUUCUAGCUGUGGCCUCUGCUAAACACUGGCUUGUGUUCCAAAUGGAUGUCCAUAAUGCAUUUCUCCAAGGUGACCUGGUUGAGGAUAUGUAUACGGUUGUUCCUCCAGGCUUUUGCAGACAGGUGGAGUCUGGUAAAGUCUGCAAAUUACACAAGUCACUAUAUGGUUUAAAGCAGACACCUAGGCAAUGGAAUUUUAAACUAAUAGAAGCAUUACUUCAGCUGGGAUUUGUUCAAAGCCACUAUGACUAUUCUCUAUUUACCAGAAGUGAAAAUAAAAAGUUGAUAAUAAUUCUUGUUUAUGUUGAUGACCUUCUGAUAACUAGAAGCUGCAAGAAGCUGAUUGACAGGACCGGGAAUGAUCUGCAACUUAAAUUCAAAAUGAAAGACCUAGGAGAAUUGAAGUUUUUCCUUGGAAUUGAAUUCGCCAGAUCAAAAGAAGGUUAUAUUAUGAGCCAACGUAAGUAUGCCUUGGAACUUGUCUCAGAAAUGGGUCUAAGUGGUGCCAAGCCAGUCAACACUCCACUGGAUCCAAACCUCAGACUAACCUCUAUUGAAUAUGACUCACAUGUACAAGAGGCAAACACUACAUCAAGUGACAAACCUUUGGAAGAUAUUGGUAGAUAUCAAAGCCUUGUAGGGAAACUGUUGUAUCUAACUAUGACCAGGGUAGAUAUCUCCUUUGCAGUACAAGUUCUAAGUCAAUAUAUGCAUGCACCCAAAGAGUCUCAUAUGGAAGCUACACUUAGAGUAGUCAAAUACAUCAAGUCAGCUCCAGGUUUGGGUUUGUUUAUGCCCUCACAAGAUUCUAAUCAAUUGACUGUUUACUGUGACUCUGAUUGGGGUACUUGCUUACAAACGAGAAGAUCUGUGACUGGAUACUUAGUGAAGUUUGGAAAUGCUCUUGUAUCUUGGAAGGCAAAGAAGCAAGAAACAAUUGCUAAAAGUUCUGCAGAAGCUGAGUUUAGGAGUAUGGCAUCUGCAGUAGCUGAAAUUACUUGGCUCAUUGGCAUACACAGUGAACUAGGAGUAACCAUCAAACAACCAGUUGAUCUAUUCUGUGACAGCAAGGCUGCAAUUCAGAUUGCAGCCAACCCUAUUUUUCAUGAGCGAACUAAGCAUUUUGAUAUUGAUUGCUAUUUUGUUAGAGAGAAACUGCUUAAAAAAAUGAUUCAGACACAUCAUGUAUCCACAAAAGAUCAGCUGGCAGAUCUGCUCACAAAAGGUUUAUGGAAAGCUCCACACUCACAUCUUAUGUCCAAGCUGGGAAUGAAAGACAUUUUUCAGCCAUCAGCUUGAGGAUGGGUGUUAUGAAUAUGAGAAUCAAAAGUUACGCAUUGUGAUCAAUGUAACAGUAAAGUUAGUUACAAAAGUUUGUUAUAAUGUUAGUUAAAGGUAACUCUAGUUAAGUUAGACUAACUAGCUUGUACAGUUAAGAUACACUAUAAAUAGAGUAGUGUAGGCAUUAUUUGUAUUGUAUUAGAUUAUCAUUCAACACACAGAAAAGUUCUUCUUUGAUUGAAUCCUCUGCUCUGUAAUUCUUCAGAAUCCCCUAUCACCACCGAAGGUGAAAGCCUGGAUGGAUGAUAUUAAAAUAAAAAUAAAAACGAGACCUUCAGCCUUUAGAACAAAAGAGAUUAUAAUGCAACUUAAUGUCAUCUAGUCCAAAUUUUGCACUAAGAGAAAUUCACUGCCGGUAAUAUAAUAAGAUAUAUGCUUUUGCUGAGAAAUAUUGGAAACAGAUUUUGUCAGCAUAAAAUGCACUUCUUGUUGGUUGUUAGGUAAUUAGACUUGCUUUCAACUUUCAAGCAUAACGAAUAGUUUAGUUCAACAUGUAUAGUAGAAAAAACAAUAGGCAAAAAAUGGUCUAAAUUUCAAAUGAUUGGUCGACGAAUAUAGAAAAGACUUAGAAUAGCAAUUCAUCUUCUGUAGGAAACAAGUACUGGUCUAUCUAUCAAGUUGGUAAUUUCAAAAAUCAUCAAUACUUCCAACCAAAACAAAUUGAAUUAGUUAAUUGUACUCCCAAAGUAAAAGGAUAUUACACUUUUAGUCACUAAGAGGUAGUUUGACCGGAGAUAUUAGAGAAAAUAAUAUUUGUAUUAGCUUUGAUACUACAUAAUUUAUUGUUUGGUAUACCUAUAUAAUUAAUUAUAUAGAGUGAUACAUUAUAUUCAGUAUUAUUAUAUAUUCACCAUGACAUUAACAAUAUAUACUAGUACUAUUCCUAUAUAUUCUAGUACAGUAUACUCCAAUUGGAUUACAUUUUUUAGAAAUUUAUACGAUAUAUAAUAUAUAUGUGUUAGUAUUUGAUGCAACAAACCAGACAAACGAUAAAUGAAAUAUCAGCAUGAACAUUACUAACCAUAUUAAGUAGUAUUCUUAUGUGGCAUUUCAAUCCCUAAAAGAUAAUAAUUACAUAUAAGUAUAUAACCAUUUAUAAAAGGCAAGACUUCGUUACACUACGACAAAGUGAUAUUUAGUGGGAAUCGAUUUUUCUCUUAGUAUUGCCACAAAAAAAAAUUGCGACAAUAUUUUGCGAUAAUUGAGUUAAUUCAAAGAUGCUACAGUUUUUCACGAUAUUUAUAUAGAAUGCUGAUAGUAAGUAUCAAAAAUUAUUAUUAUUAUUAAAUAUAUUAUAACAAUUAGAAUCUUAUUUUAAUCAAUCAAAUUUUAGUCAUUAAUUCUUGCAUAUGCCAUGUGUCUCACAUCCAAGCAAGAACUUGGGAAAAAUGAAGAAAAGAGAAAUAGAGAGUAACCGGAUCCAUUAUAAGGCAUAUUGUCAUUUGUCCGUAUUUAUAAGUUAAAUUUUAAAAAAAUUCAAACAACUGCCAGUGGCCAUAAAUGAAAAUGAUGCAUCCAGAAAAAUACGUCUGGACCUUCUGUAGUAAGGAAUGGUCUCUUCCAAGUCCAAUAAAAAAGACUGCAAAGUCCAUCCACUACUACUGUAACAUGAGGCUAAACUGCACUCUCAAUACAUAGAAAAAUUAACCAACAAUGCAUUAUCUAUCACACAUUCAUAUCCUGGAUGAGAUAAGAUUCACCAUCUUCCGACACGUGGCACUUCUAUUCUUGUCUAUUAAAAUAAAAGACACUUAGCUCCAAUUUCUUAUCUUUCAUGUGGCCAUUAAAUUUUGUAAUAUCAACAGCCACAUAAUCCAAUGGUCACCCUUCAUCUAAGAUGAGGUUUCCUUUGUUUCUAUCCGUUAGAUUAAAAAAAACGUCUAACACCUUAUCAUUAUAUAAAGGGAGUAAGCCACAGUGUAAUAAGCAUCUUAAAAAAAAAACAAGUUUCUUUGAAGUAAAAAAAAAAAAAACGUUUUAUAGCUAAGUAGUAACGUAAUGGCUUCCUCAAUUGUCUCCUCAGCAGCCGUUGCUACCCGUAGCAAUGUUGCUCAAGCUAGCAUGGUCGCACCCUUCACCGGACUCAAAUCCGCCGCGUCUUUCCCCGUUACUAAGAAGAACAACAACGUUGACAUUACUUCCCUUGCUAGCAACGGUGGACGUGUUAGAUGCAUGCAGGUUCAAAUAAUAAUUAUCAGUAUAUAUAUAUAAAAUUUAAAUUAACUAGUUGUCGUUUAUUUAUAAAAUAAAUGUGUUAAUGUAGGUGUGGCCACCAAUUAACAUGAAGAAAUACGAGACAUUGUCAUACCUUCCUGACUUGUCCGAUGAGCAAUUGCUCAAGGAAGUUGAGUACCUUUUGAAAAAUGGAUGGGUUCCUUGCUUGGAAUUCGAGACUGAGGUCAAUAUCUCCUACAUACUUUUACAUGUGUAAUUUAAUUUGUUGAAGGAGAAAAUAAAUGUAUGUUAUAUUGUUGUGUACAGCACGGAUUUGUGUACCGUGAGCACAACAGCUCACCAGGAUACUACGAUGGUAGAUACUGGACCAUGUGGAAGUUGCCUAUGUUUGGGUGCACUGACGCAACCCAGGUGUUGGCUGAGGUUCAAGAGGCCAAGAAUGCGUACCCACAGGCCUGGAUCCGUAUUAUCGGAUUCGACAACGUUCGUCAAGUGCAGUGCAUCAGUUUCAUUGCCUACAAGCCAGAAGGAUACUAAAUUUCAUCAAACCUAUAAUUAAUUACUCCUAUCGACAUGUUUUUUGCGUUUUGUACCGGUGUAUUUUCCUCGAUUCCGACCAAGUUAUGAGAAAUUAAUAAUGAUGAAUCUUUAAUUAUAUGUUUUUUUGUGGUGUGUAUGAGUUUUAUUAUCCAAACUAAAAAUCUCUCUUUAAAUAUGAAAACGACACAUUAACUACUCCUUUUAUCCUAACAACUUUAGCACAACGAUUAAAUAGCCACCGCAUGUGACAUUAAUUAUCUUAAAUGAAAAGAAUUGUAUCACAUUGAGACAUCGAUUCAAUAAUUAGUGAGAAUGAAAAAGACUUCAUUUUCUGCCUGGAAAAAUGCCGUAACUUAAGUAAGAUUUUUUUUUUAUUUCACAAAUUAGUGAAUUCAAAUCUUACACUUUUGAUUCAUCAAUGUAAAAAGAAUAAAUUAAAAAUCCUAUUAUUUGUAUUAUUUAUGUGAGGCACAAAAUAAAUAUCUUCGUAAGAGUAACCAACCUUCUAGGCUUAUCAUGAUCAGUUGGGCCCUGGAUGUUUACACUUGUGGCCACUGGCCAUGCUCAACAAGGACCGGUCAAUUAUUGUAUUUUGUUGUUAUCCUUUUGUCUUUUUUAUUGGUUUUUUUUUUUAAAGAGUUUGAAGUUUUAUGUAUCGAAUAGUUGAUAUGUUAAUAGUUAUUAAAUACAAAUUUAUAUAUAUAUUCUAAAUUAACGUAUAAUAUACAUAAAUGGUGUAUAAUUUUUUUAUAUUUGACUAACGGCUAAAAUUCAUUUAAAUUGAGCAAGUAAAUGUAUUAUGACCCCUAAAUUUUUUUAGCUCAAACACCAAUUUAGUGAUUUUUGCUUUAAAAAAACUGAAAAUUGUAUUGUUGGUGAUCAGUAGAAAGUGUUGAAGAAGAGAAAUCAUUGUAAGUUUGAAGAAGAGAAAAUACAUAAAACUCCCCCCUAAACUUGGCAGUACAACUUACUUUAGCACUUAAACUACACAGGCUUUUAAUAUCCCCAUUAACAUCUUUGAAGUGAAUUAAAUACAACUCUAAAUACUGACUCCUCCACAGCGAUAGCACUACUGGAGCAUGACCAUUCGCAAUACACUAACAUUAUAUCUGAAUGCAGGUCACUAAUGCAGCAGGGGAAUACCAAAACCACUCCACACAUUCAGGGAGUAGAACAAGGUGGCGGACAUACUGGCUAAAAUGGGUAGGACAAUACAAUCCAACAGCGGGAGGAUGCAGAUUUUGGAAGCCCCACCACAUUAUGCCUUCAAAGCAUGGGAAGCUGACAAGAAUGGGCUUUAUUUUGAUAGAAUGGUAGUAGUAACUAGUCCCAACGAGACAACGGAGAAUCCCCCUAUUUCAAACUAUGUAAUGAACAAUGAAGUCCGUGUGCUUCACCUUUAAGCUUUUUAUAUAAUUACUCUAUUUCUAUCAAAAACAAAUAAAUACAACCCUGAGAAUAGAAUACCACUCUCACCUGUCACAUCAUAACCAUGUAAGCACCACGUCAUUAAUUUUCAAUCUUUUUUUUGCUUAUUCACCUUUUCUCUUAACCAUUUUCUUAAAAUUUAUUACACUAAUCAAUUAAUUUAAAAUACAUUUUAAAAUCAAAAUUGCCCCAUCUUCUUCCACCCCUUCUCUUCUACCCCCCCCCCCCUACUCUUUC